ACAGUUUCAUCAACGAUAUUUUCGAGAAGCUUGCCCAGGAAGCUUCUAGGCUUGCAAGGUACAAUAAGAAGCCGACGAUUACAUCUCGGGAAAUUCAGACCGCUGUGAGACUUGUACUUCCUGGUGAGCUGGCUAAGCACGCUGUUUCUGAGGGUACCAAAGCUGUUACUAAGUUUACUUCUUCUUGAAGGAAGUUUGUUGCAUCGGUCGGUGAAUUCGGGUGUUAUGUGAUUUGUGUAGUUAGUAGUUUAGGCCUUUAAUUUUACUAGAUGAAGUCGUUUUUAUGUUUUGUGUUUUCAAAUCUUUGGUGGAUUUUUAGGGUUUGUUUGGAUGUACUAGAAAUUUGGACCUGAUCCAGGUGAUGUGCAUGUUCAUUAUGUUAGAAUAUGAAAAUGAAAUAUGAUUUCGGAAUUGCCCUUGUUGGUUCUUUUCUGAAUUGUGAUAGGUUAUUGUGAAAUUGCUUGGUGUGAAAAAAAAGGGCACAGAAUUGAUGCUUUCUUGUGUUGUGAGAAGUCCCUUUUUAACCAGUUCAGAGAUUUGGAGAUGUAUAUACAUAUUUUGAUUGGUGUGAAUUACUUGCUUGUGCUUUUCCUCUACCUUUAGAGUAAUUCCAAUUUAUUUACCUAUUUGCCUCCUUUCCGAACUUUGUGAAUCUGAAAAUAUUCCCAAUCAACCUUGUGAAAGCGGAUUUAAUCAAGAAAAACCUUAAUGGAAAGUUGGAAGCAAGAUGAGAAAAUGAAAAGAUUAAUGCUCUCAAAGUUCUUAACAGACAUGGGCAAAGGCAGACAAUUUCAGUUUCUGCUGAAUGGAGCCGCUGUUUCUAUUUUGUGAAGUCAAUAUUUUAGCUUCUCUCAGUUUAUGGUCAAUUACCUUGUACAUACAUAUCUUAGGCUCAAUGAAAAAAGGUGAAAGAUUUUGAAAGAGUGCAGUGACCAUAACAAUUCUAUUUUAAUAAGGUGCAUCGUAAGAGGAGCCAGGUAUGCAAACAGCACAGGUGUCCUGAUGAUGGCAGUUAUUAUAACUGAAAACUGAAUCCUUUCCCUCCCCUGUUUCUCUGUCCUGCUCCUAUCUUGUACAUCGUUCUCUUCUCAUCUUAUUUGAAUCUGCCUUAUCUCGGCAAUUUCACAAUCAAGAUUCAAGAACCUUCAUGUCUCAGCAACUAAUCCAGUUCGAAAAUCAGAAUCAAGAACUGGAAGCGCUUUAUUUCAUUCUACCCACUCGUUUCACCGUCACACAUGCAACUUGACUCUGAUUAUUUGGGUGCAGCAUCUUCUUGAGGUCAUUUCUUGUGAAGAGGAGCUGUUUGAUUCACCCAAUUUGCAAUGGGAAGGCUCUGUCUUACAAAAUGAUCCCACUCCAUGCUUCCGUUUCUUCUUGUGUAAAACUUGUGUACACACAUAGUAUCUAAACAUUGUACUUUUCAGCAUGCCGUUGAACUUAAGAUUUUCCACUGUUUUCAAGAAAGAUUGAUAUCAAGGAACUAUUUGUGCCCCUUGACGACAAACUAGUCAAGGUUAUUAUGAGUUUCAAGCUCUGGAUUUUGGAUUUCUGUUCCAUCAUUUGUGGUUUUGUUACUACGAUCGACUGUUUUCUACUGAAUGUGUAUCUUUUUUGCUUGAUGGGCACUCACUAUUUUCAGAAUAAGAUCAGUUGUUUGUAUUUUCUGAAUGUUUGUUUUUAGAUUUUUCAAUUGCCUAUUAUCUGAUUUUCUUUGUGAGUAAUCGAGUAAGACAAUUCUUUGCUUGCGAAUGAUGUCCAAGAAAAUUUACAAUGCACUUGCUUUGACGGAGGAGUGUUGACUUACAGUAGUGUAUCCGUAACGUGCUACUGAUUUAAGAAAGCGAUCCCUUGUUAUAACUUCUAACCAUUGUCUAUAUGCAUUUUCCAGACAAACAAAUCAGCCAGUUAUCCUUGUGUAUGUGUAAGAUUUUUUGAAUUAUACUUGAUGACAUAUCGAUUUUUGUUUCAAUAACUGACAAUUAUAAAUUUUCAUUCUUCUUAGAUUAAUUAUUGUUAGCGUUUUGUUUAGAUUAAUUAUGAUUAGCGUUCUUUUUUGUAGGGCUUUAAGUUACAUAACUAUGGUUAAUCAUAUCUUCAAUGUCUAGUGUCAACGUGGUGGCUGAAAGCCCAAAAAAUCAUUACAAAGAUGACAGCUAUGGGUUUGACAUGGAAAUGGCAGAUGUGUAUUGUGUGUUGGAUGCAACAUGCUCUUUGGCCAGAAAAUUGUAGGAUCUUCUAUGCAAUUUUCCUCUCUCUAUAUAUAUAUUUUUCUUUUCACUCCAAAUUAGGUUCAAAACUAGUAAAUGAAUGAUACAUUCUUCAGGUUCAAAUGAAAUCAUCCAAGAUGAACUCAGAGAAGGAAGACUGGUACUUAAAUUGUAAGUUUUUGAAGUAGUUAUGGCAGUAGAGACUCUGAGGCAAUGAUGUUUCGAGGACGUCACUGAAGGGCUCUCUUGGCCACAUUGUCCUCCUUUACCUUUUAAUUCUUCCGUUAUAGAGUUGUUUCUCAUAAGUUCUGUAAAGUGACACGUGAAAGUGGAAUUCCUGGUACACCGUAAUAUGUCUGGUGAAUUUGAAACGUGGCAAUUGAAGUAAAGAAUAGAAGUUGCAAUAUACUGGAUGUCCUGGUGUCUGUAUUACAGGAUUUCUAAACUAAUGCAUUCCAUUAAGUUUCUGUACAAUUGCCACAGUUCAUGAAAUCUCCGCUUUUUCCCAAAAUGAUCACUGCACUCCUACGAUUUAUGUUUUAUUGUUCUCCUUACAUGUUGAUAUUUCUACAAAUCUCGUUAGGCCUUUGUGCAUUUAGGCAAAAGAAACGGAUAAAAGAAAUGUGAGUAGUUUUUGCAUGACAAGAUAUUAUUACUGUAACUUCACAAAUCAGUCUGCCUGCAUCCUGAAAACAGGUGAUCCUUCACAGAAAAGCGGUUAUUAUUAUAACCAAGUAACGGGGCACCUUUCCCACCUCUAUAUCUCUCGCUUAAUACUUUCCGAGAUAUUCUGAUCAAAUCCCAGUCACAAUCAAGAACAUCACUUCCUCUUUGAACUCAUAAUCCGUGUUAAAAAUUGAUCUAGAAUUCUAGUGCUUUGCAUGUUAAUUAUGUUAGAAAAUGAAAAUAGUAUAAUGAACAAUUAUGAUGAAAUUCUCGGUUAAAUGGGGCUUCAAUUGUGAUUCGUCUGAAGUUGUCUAUUGUGGCCAUGGCUGGUUUCUUCAAUUUUCAAAUCUUGCUUGAGCCCAAAAUUAUAAGUUGGAAUUAAGGAAAGUUAUUAGACGUCACGUGAUCAGUACAACCCAUUUGCUGAAAUGCUGGCCCACCGCAGUAUACUGGGAAUUUCAGUCGUUACAAGGACUAUAGUAAUCUAAAGAUGUUCCAAUCAACCUCAGAAGAAGUGAUUUAAUCAAGCAGAAGCUUAAAGAAAAUUGAUGAGAAUAUUGAAGAUUGAUGCUUUGAAGUUGUUCUUAAAAUAAACAGGCAACGUAUUCUCUAUGUGAAUUCUAUUUUAAGCGCGCGCGGCUACUCUAGCCAGGGGUGUGUGCGUGUGUAUUUAUAGGUGUCCUCAGGAUGACAGUUACUAAAACUGAAAAACUGAAGCUGCUUUCGCUCCCCUGUUUCUCGCUCCUACUCUGUUCUUGUACAGUAUUCUCUUCGCAGCUUUAUUUGAAAGUGCUUUAUCUUGGCAAUUUCACAAUCAAGAUUCAAGAACCUUUCUUUAUCUCUCAGCAAAUAAGCCAUUCUGAAAAUCAGAAUCAAGAACUAGAAGCACUUUCUUUCUUUACACCCAUUUCCCCACUCCACAUAAAACUUGAAUCUGAUCAUUGGUUUGGGGCAGAACCAUCUUCUUGAGACCAUCUAUUGUGAACAGAAACAAGUCUUCAAGAGCUGUUUGAUCAUACAAGUAUGCAAUGGGAAGGCUUUUUGUCAUACAAUAUGACCAGACUCCGGACUCACGUAUCUUCUUGUGUACUAUUUGCCAUACCCAAUUUGCUUUGCGGCAAGAAGUAGUCUCUAUGGUAACAUCUCUCUCUCUCUCUUCUCUCUGAUCAAUGUGUAUACUUUUUGAGUAAUAAUAUGUAAGGAUGAUUUAUGCUUAAGCAUGUGAACGUUGUCUGCACAAUCUGUAUAUUUUGUUGAACUUCGGCUUUUUCAUGGUUGUUUGCAUCAAUCGUUUUUUACAUGCCAACAAUAGUGACAAGAAAGACUAAUACCAGUAACCACUUAAUUGAGUUUCUUUUUAGCGCCUCAUCGUUUCUUUUUGUGACAAAGAAGACAAUUCUUAUUUGCACAGAAACGUUUACUGGUGAAUGAUGUCCAAGAAAAUGUAAUUGCUCUGACAGAAAAGUACUUAAUUAUAACAUGCAGCAAUGAUUAUCCUGUUUACUUACUUACGAAUCCUGUUGCAAACUUGAUCUGUUGUUCUAACUAUUGUUUUCAUGCAUUUUACAGGUUAGAACGAAUGAGUCACUUCUCCUGGAAAAGGCGUAAGUUAUUUGUUGAAUUAUACUUGAUUACACAUCAGUUUCUGUUUCAAUAUCCAACUAUAAACUUUUUAUUCCUCUUAGAUUAAGUAAUACUUUGUGUUCUAUUUUAAAUUGCCUUAAAAUUUCACAAUUAUGAUUAAUCAUAAUCUCGACGUGGCUAGCGUCAAUGUGGUGGUUGACACCCCGGAACAUUAUUACUUGGAAGACGCCUUCGACAACAUUGAGAUGAUAGAGGCAGAUGUGCAUUGUGUUGGAUGCAACAUGCUAUUGGGCCAGACAAUUGUAAGAUAUUCUGUACAAUUUUCCUCUUUUUGCAUGGCUUUCUGCUCCAAAUUAGGUUCAAAUAAUGUAAAUGAAUGUUACAUUCUUCAGAUUGCAGUGGAUUCAUUCCACGAAAGACUCAUAGAAGGAAGACUGAUGCUUGAAUUGUAAGUUAUCGAAAUAUAUUUAUGUAUGGUAUACAAAGUUUUUGUGGGUUUUGAUUGAAGAUUCUGUUCGUAGGCGGAAGCUGCUUUACUGGAAUGGUGAGCAGGUGAUAGACGCAAUCACAUUGCUUCCGCCUGAGCCUGAAGAGGACGACUAAAUUACUGUGAAGCAAUGAUAAUUAAUUCGAGGAUAUCACAGAAGGGCUCUCUUAGAAGUCCUAUUAAAAAUGCAAUUGCUGCGCAGGAUUCUUGUCCAUUUUCCUUCUUCUUUCCUUUUAGUUCGUCUUAUAGAUUUGUAUCUCUGAUGAGAAAGUGCAAUUUCUGUCCUUGUUGUUUCUCAAAUGUCCAUCAAGUUUCUGUAUAGAAGAAGCAAAGAAUAGAAGUUGCAGUUUACUGAAAAUUUCUGGUGUCUUCCAAUGAAAAUAUUCCAUCAAGUUUCUGUACUAAAUGCUACAGUUCAUUAACAUGAAAAUGCUACUAUAUAUUUUCUCCUCUAGAAUUACUUUCUACUCCCAAGUGAGUUCAAAUUUUGUUUCUCAAAUGUCCAUUCUUCAGGUUCAAUUGGAUCCACCCAAACCUGAUGAUGACUCUUUAUUCCCAGGAGGAAGAAUUCUUACCGCAAUGUAAGCUUAUAAAACGGAUAUGGCGUGACUGUUAUAACUUUUCAGGGUUUUGAUUGAUGAAUCUGAUUAUAGUGAUAAGCUGCAGUACUUGGUGGUCAUAGCAUAGUGGAAGGAAGCGGUUUGGUAGGAGCUUUGUUCAUUGUGAGGCAAUGAGUAUGGCAGAUCCUGGACAACUCGGGGGGCUAACUUGUGUCAAAGUUCAAUUAACAUUGGUUACCUACUGCACACGGCACAGGAUUCUCGUUUGUUAUUCUUUUGUUUCGUUGUUGUCAUUAUAGAGUUGUUCACUUGUUUGUCUUAGUACUCAGAAGUGAGAUGAGAAGCUGAAUUGUUUUUCUUAGAAUUAUAACAACUUUGAGACAGUAAAUAUUUCUGAUAAACUUGAGAUUGCAUAAGGACAGGGCUUACUCAGAAAGAUUUCGUUUUACAGCUCAGGAUUCUUUUUCUUUACUCUCUUUCCAUCUUAGUUCUUCUCAUUGCAGAUUUGUUUGGUUCUCUAAUUACUCAAAAACAUUCAAGACACGAGAGUAAUUUUGGUAGGUAGGUUUGAGAUAUACCCCAAAUUCAGAAAUAAAGAGAAGUUGCAAUUUACUCUAGAUUCUGACCAUUAUUUUUUCAACUGAAAAUCCUAUAAUAUAUUGCUUGUAAUUUUCGCAAUGCUCUUUGUAUAUUUUCAAAAACAUUUAUGUGAAGCCAAUAUCAAUAGCUUCAUAAUUCUUUCUGAGCCCGUUAUUCUGCCCGACCCAAUUUGCUUGCUCAUAUAGAAUUUCAGAAAUAUAAAUGUGUGUGUACAUAUAUAUUUUAAAAGUAUCACAUAAAUAAAAAAGAGCCCUUUAUUUAACUCAAAACUCAAAACCCUAAACCUAGAUCUUGACAAAUGAAACCUGCUCAAAAAGAAGCAGUGGCAGAGCGAUCUGCUGUUCGAUAUGAUCAGAAUCCUGACACACGUUUUUUCUUGUGUACUACUUGUCAUACCCACAUUGCUUUGUUGCGAGAACCGUUCUCCUUAGUAACACCUCUCAACUUUCUUCUCUUUGAUCAUAUAUAUGUUUGUGUUCAUACUUUUCAAAACCUAUUAUUUCAUAAUGCCAUACACUUAACACAUCGAACGAACCUUGAGAACAAAAUUCAAUUAUUAAUAUUGCGGCAAGCACCUUGUCGAUUGAUUGAAAUGAAUUUCGAACAUUAAUUCUCCCGUCGUCUAACCAAUUUUGUGAAUGCAUUUUGCAGGAUACGCAGACUGCAUCAGUCAUCCUAGAGAGUGUGUGAGAUAGCUGCUUGAAUUUUACUUUUUGGUUUGAUAAUAGAUAUGUUGGAAAUUUAAAUUUUAUAUGAUUCAAUGUGUUUUUGAUAAUUAAGCAGUGACAACUUGCUGAUUGACAGCUCAGAAACUCAUUCAAGGGUCAACGGAUCCACUGUGGCAAAUUUGUACUGUGUUGGAUGCUUCGCGCAAAUUGGCUACAAGUUUGUAAGAUCGUCUGUACAAUUUUUCCCUAACAGCGUAACCGAUUCAAAUUCUUGUAUCUGAAAAUGUUAGAUUCUUCAGGUUCAAGUGGAAUACUCGCAUGACAUAAUUCGAGAAGGAAGAAUUCUGAUGGAUUUGUAAGCUUCUGACUGAAAAUUAUACAAAAUUGCUUGUCAGUAUGUAGAAUAUUUUAUAUUGCCUUUUGGGUUUUGAUUGCAGGCGUAAAUUGUUGUUCUGGAAUGGUCAGCUGAUAAUGGACUCAAUGAGAAUGCAACCAAUUGUGGACGCAUUUCCAGAGCAAUGAUAAUUCAAGGACAAAUUACAAAGGGAGCAAAGGACUUUUUCUUUUUUUUUUUAAAUGUUCAUCCAUUUCAGUUAAUCUCUUUGUAUGAUUCUCUUGAGUACUUCAUUUUAUGCAAGUGAGAUGAUGGGAAAUUCCAAUUUCUAAAUUAUUGUUGAAGGAUUAUGAUUUUGUAAGAAAAAUGUAUCUAAAAUAGCAAUAUAUGUAAUUCAUACUCUGUCAUUGAACAUAGAUAACUAUAACACACUAAGUGCUGUUUGAAACACAAUUACAUCAUGUAUUUCUUUUUUACUUCUCUAAAUAGUCUUAGCUUAUUAAGGGGAAAGAAUAUCAUAGAAUAGAAAAGCAAAAGAAUACGUCAUCUAGUCUCUUGAAUGAUAAGCGGCUUGCAUUGUUCAAGAAACUAGAAUGAUACCAAAAAUGUUUGUUUGCUCUGAUUCUUCGAGUGGCGAGAAUUUAAUUGGGCAUCAAUAUCGUGGUGUGUUGAGGCUUUUCAAAAAAAUAUAAUUUUUAAUAUGUUAAUUUCUUUUAAUAUUUUAAUAACACCUUCACUUUAACAAAGUAAGAAUAUCUUUAUUAGAAUAUAUAUAUAUAUAUAUAUAUAUAUAUAUAUAUAUAUUAUAUUAUUAAUUUUUAUUUUAUAAUUAUAAUUUUUUCAACAAUUAUAACUUAAAAAGUAUAACGCCUUGAUACCAAAUGGGGGCUAAGUACCUUAUGCUUUUCUUGGAGGUCUCCUUUAUCAUAUUAUAUAAUAAACUUGCCAUCUUUAAGGAACGACAUGUGUUACAUACAAUAUUCAAAGAACCGACAUGUCAUGUAUUAUGCGGAUGACAUCUCCUUCUCAAAAUCAAAAUGGUUGGCGGAUGUAAACUGAAAAAACUGAACCUCCUUUUCCCUCAUCUUUUUCCCGUUGUUGUCCGUUGUAUUUACAUUUUUGUAUAUGGCAAGCUUCUUUUUGACCUCCCUGUUCAUAGCUAUCUUUAACUUCUCUUCUGUAAAAUACACGCUGAAUUAUCCUCGGUAAUUUUUAAACAUUUCUUCAAUAUUAUUGCAUUUGAAAAUGGGUGUGUUCCUUUCAAAAUGGUAUAGUAGUAAUGAAGUCAUGUUUGGCAAUUUAUUAACAUAAUAAAUUAACAUGAAUUUGUGUUGUGGCAUCAUUGUAUUAAUAAUAAUAUAUACGUAUGUUGACAAUUGAAAUGAAACUUUAUGGGACUAGUAUUUGUUGAAAUAAUCCCAUGUUUGACAAUUGAAAUGAAAUGCAUUGAGCAGCAUUAACUAAAGCCUUAUUACAACUUUUGCCGCAUUAUAAAAACAUGUGCCUCCCUUGUGUAUAAGCUGUAUUGUAACUUUUAAAAGAUAAAAUUAUUUAAUCAAUUAAAACAUAUUUAGUUUAUUUAUUAUUAAUUUAUAAAAUAAUAAAUUUAAAUACCAAAAACAUUGCCUACCACCAACCACCACAAUUCAUCGCCAACAAUAUUAUUUUGGUAUCCUUUGACUUUAAUAAUAGUACCAAUAGAAUCCUUAUCACUGGAGCUACUCAAUGCUGUAUGUACUAUAAAAAAUGGAGCUUCCAUUCGCUGUUCACUGUCCACUGUCCACCGUAGGUCUAUAGUCAGAGUUUCAUAAUAAAAACUUUGAUUGUAUGUUUACAAUGAUAGGAAACUCCAUUGCUCAUGAAAAAUGUAUUGUUGUGUAGAUCCCAUUAUGAAGAUUCUAGUGGCACCAAAAUUGAAGUCAAAAUAUAUCGAAAUAUGAAUCUUGGCAAUGGUUCCCAGUGGCUCACGAUGCCAGCUGUGAGUAAUUUUAUUUUUAUUUAUAAUUAAGAUAAUAAAUUUAAUAAAUAUAAAUUAUAAAACUUUUAUGUAUUUAUAAUUAUAAAAAUUAAUUUAAUAUAAAUAAUAACAUACAAAAUUAUUAUAUAUAAUAAUAUAACACCAAACAUUGUAUAACAUUAAUAUAAUAUAAUGCUAAUGUAAUAUAACUAAAUGUAACACAUCCUUUAUUAAUUAAUAUAAUAUAUUAUAAUACAAAUAUAGUGUACCAAAUACAUCUCAUAAACUUUAUCAUGCUCACAACAAUAAUUAAUGUCGUGAAGGCCUGAACUGUGAACUGCUUCCUCAUGUUAGGCCCAAGUCAAGAAAUGUAUUUAGGACCAAGACCAAUAAUACUUGGACCAUAAUCUCGAUUAAUUACUACCCAACAAUGAAUUCAAUACUUCGAGGGUUGACUAUUGGCACCCUUUCAAAACCCUCUUAAAACCCAUUAGAGUAUUUUAUGAUUUUAAUUUUUGUUAAAAUUACAUUAAAGGACAAGACAAAGAUACAUCUAAUUAAAUCCACAAAUAAAACACAAAUUGUUUUCUUCAUCAAUGAUUUUCUUUUAUCAUCAAGAUUUCACAAAAAACUUACUAAAACCCCAAAGUAUUAAGCAGAUUAUUAAAAAAAAAAACUCAUCCAAGAAAAGCUUAAAACCCCUUGUCUUAAGUCGUCCUAAUUCUUUAUAAGUUGUAUUUAUUGACAGGUCGCAUUGCUAACAGUAACAACAAUAUUAAAAAAUAAUGGCCCAAUAAAAAUUAAAUUAAAAAGAUGUUACUUCAACAAGAGAUGGGAAAGAACACAAGGCCGGCUUUAAGCAUAAGUGAGUUAGGCGGUCGACCUUGAGCUCUAUGUGUUUAAGAAGGCCUUAUUGUGAUCACGUUAGGAAUACCUUUUUUUUAUUAUUUCCUUGAUAUAUUUAAAUUAAUAAAUAUCUUUUUAAUUGAUAAUAGGAAAUAGGAAAGUCAAUUUUUAGGUCUCUCUUUAAUCAAUAAUUACGCUACAAUUAAGAAUUUUUGUACAAAUUUUAUAUUCAAUAACCUUAAUGUUAAAGGGCUAUAAUUAAAAGUAUUAUAUAACCCAUUAAUUCAUUAUUAAUAUUUCCAAGAAAAAGAUUAUGUUCUUUAUUUGUAUUCUUUACAAUUAGAUAAUCACUGAGACUAGUUUACUAACAUUGCCUAGAUAAGUCCCGUUAGUUUAUAUAAUAUAAUAACUGAUAUUUACAAUCAGACAAUUACUUACUGAUAUUUACAAUGAGAUAAUUAAUGAGACUAAUUUACAUAUUAUUCUAAUUUAUAAAUUUAAUUUUUUUUUUAAAUAGAGGACUUGGAUUUGGCCAGGACUUUUUUUCCUAAACUCUUGUCCAGAUCCUCAUACGGGAGCCCCGAGCCAAAGCUCGUAGGAUGGCCAGGGCCAACUCAAAUUUGGGCCGGCCCGAAUUUUCUUACCGUCCCUGCUAGCUUUGGGACUUGGGAGUUGAAAAUUAGAAACAAAUGAAUUUGUCUUUGCGAAGAGUGAGAGAGCAAAAAUUAAAAUUAAAAAAAUCAUAAAAAAGAGAGAAAGUAAGUCAUUAAGUUUCAGCUACUUGACUAUCAUUUUCAGGGUAUUCAACUCCAGCUCUUGAGAUGCUUCCAUCAGCCAUCAGCAUGCUAUACUCUUCUAAAGUCUAAACCAUGCUCAUUAAGUUUCAGCUCAACUAAUCUUCUAUACACAGUGUAAACCAGAUCUGGCUAAAAGCUACUCUCUCCUUGGACGUUAAAAACACUAAAACCACUCACUCUCCAUUUCAACUCAGUUUGGGCUUGUCUACUUAUAUAUAGCUGUCUACUAAUCUCUAAGCAAUGCAUCAGACAACUUAAAACUUCUGUGACUAAAUAAAAAGGUCUAAUCAUUGCUGAUUAAUUACUUUCUCACCAAUUAAAAAUAGCCAGCUCAAAACAAGUAUCAGGGAUGGGACAAAGGAGACACAAGGGAUAAUGAGAAGCUAAAAAAUUACAAGCAACCGCAGAGCAUAUUGUGUACAAGUGAACAAGCAAGACAUUUUUUAUUUUUUUUUACAGUAACCGGGAUAGCAAUCCCCUGUCUCAUCUCACUUUCUAAGUAUUCAAAAUUCAAAAACAGAGUAUGGUUUUUUGCCCUGAUUUCUGUCAACAAAUUGUAGAAAAAGUCACACAAUUCCUAGAAUAAGAAACAAGGAAAGAAAAUAGCAUUGUCUCUACAACAAGAAGUGAACGGCCAACAGCUAAUAGCUUGAAUCCCAAUGAUCAGACCAUAGCAUAUUGCAGCAUUCUAAUUGAAAGACGGCACAAUUCACUACAGAUUGAUGGUGGCAUCAUUAUCUUCAAGUGAGAUCAUCUUCAUUGAGCUCCAUCUCCCAUUCUUCAAGGUUGUUUCCAUCCCAUGGUUGCAGUGUUUUUGCUUCUAGCAUUUGGUUACCAUCCCAAAAGAGUAGGCUCUUCCUGCAAAACAAGUUUUCAACCAUAACCAAAUAUAUUAUAAUGCAAUAAGCCCCCUUGUUUCACAUAGCAAAGAACUUACAAAUUCAAACCAAAUUUUCCUUCUUCAUAGUCAUAGAGAUAGUUGCUGUGAUUUCCUUCUUGAAUCUGAAGAAUGGAACAUUAAGGCACAAAAAAAAAAUUACUUAAUAUGUAAAAGAACGAUUAAAAUUCUAGAGGUGAAAUAUCUUUAAAAGAAAUCUUACACAUUUGCUGCCCAAUUCCUUGUGGCAGCCAGAGCAUUGCACAACUGCUAAAAUAUGACCAUCAAGCAUAAUAUGAUUUUCUGGAGUAGUAUCAAUCACCACGUUGUCUCUGCACGUCAACCAUAAAUGUAAUUAAUCAUCGACAAAAUAAAGUGGCUCACAAAAGAAUAUUAAAGAGAAGUUGGUGAAGUUCAUAUAAAAUGAAAUUAACGUCAACCCAACAAAGAAAAUACAGAAUUCCCAAACUCUGUUACUGAAAUAGAAUUGAUAUGCUAACAAAUAACUUACAGAGUUGCAGUGUGAACAGUCUUAAAUUCUCUGUGCUGCAAAAUGCAUAAAAUGGAAACCAAAUGUUAGACCAUAGGAUAUAAUGAUUAAAUCCUUCUCCUAAGCAGCAAUGAAAUUUCCUUAAAACACUCAGUUUUGUGUAUAAAGCCAAGAAGUAUCUAUAAAAUCAAGUGCAAAUUAUAAAAGGCUGACUAUCUACUCUCUAACCAUAGGGAAAAAGAUAAAAACAGUAUGAUCAAGAAAGUUGAUGUAACAAAUUGAACAGAGGAAGAUGUUACUUUCAACAAUCCAGUAGUGGGAAGUUUGAGGCCACUACAGCACCAUCAAGAACAGAUAAACUCAGAGAAGAAAUCAAUUAUUUACUAAAACAAGCAUUCUUUAUGUUUUCGUAUUGGCACAUAAAGAAAAUUUACAUCAAACAAAAGAAAAGGAUGCUGAAACUGCUAAUUUUUCAUAUGGAACAAGAAUCGGAAUCAGGACUAAUAAUAUUGUAUACCUUGUUUUGGAUAAAAGCUAUGCAUCUUCUUUUGCAACAAACACACAUUAAAAAUUUGAAGAGCCAUUUAAAGCACUAAACCAAAUAUGACCAAGAAUCCAUUUGUGAGAGAUUAUUAUCCCCAUACCAUAAUUGUGAAGAAGAGAGCAAUCGAGCAUUUACUACCAAUUUAUGAAUUAAAAAACAUAAAACGAUGACUUGACAAUAACAGUGAACGAAAACUAGCUAAAGAAGAUUAUACUACAGUGACAAGUGCAGUCUGUGCACAUAUAUAUAUUUUUUUGAUACAUUGGAGCCUAGUAAAACUAGGCUAAAACAGAACAGGGAAUAGAGGUCCCAUAUAUAUCAUUAUAUAACCAAUAACCAAGACCCUCGGGAGGGUUUUCAAAGACAUGAAGUCCAAGGGGUAAGGAAUCAACAAGUUUCGCCAUGGAAUCUGCAGUUAUGAGAAAAAAAUCUCUCAUUAUGGUAAUGAGCCAUUGUCUAUUCAUCAGUUCCUUUAUGGCAGUUAUGAGAAAAAAAAUGUACAUUAGGCAUCAAGCUAGUUGAGGAAGAGCGCUGGAAAAAGCAGUGCCAAUCCACCUCUGCAAUGAAGAAUAAGCGCAAGUCUAAGAAAAGUAAAGGCAAGGCAAGAACAAGCAUUUACUUACUACAUAAGCGCAAUCUCGAAGCAAGCAAAUAUGUGUGCUGCACUUUCGGCAGAGGUAGUAUUCGAGCCCUGGAUUGUACAAAACCUCGUGGUUGUAUGCCAUUGCAGGUGCUGAGAAACGAGACUCGGAAUACAGUGCAAGAAACUAAUAGAAAUGACUAUCCGAAAAUUAUUCGAGGAUUAACCGCGUGGCUCGUCGCCAAAAAGUGGAGGUCCCACUAAGAAGCUGUCAGGUGGCAUUGUUUAUAAUAUUUAGUCAUCCAUCUUUUUGUCACAGACUGUGCCGAUAGAUAACUGAAUAAUUUAUACCUUUGCUUAAUAUCCUGAUAUUAAGAAAUUUCAAAGUGAAAUUUUGAUCGUAUUCCCCUUAAUAGAGAUUGAAGCCCGCUUUGUGUAUCAGUAAGUGGACUGACUUUAUAUGCAGUCAAAUCUGGAAACACAUUUUAAAGAAAAUUGCAAUGUGAAAAGGGCUGGUGCUUAACUGACUUAACAAACCAAAAUUAUUUCGGGCGGAAACGGGUGUUGUUCUGGUGUGCCCAGUUGUGCACUGUUAUGGCGCUCCACUUCAAGAGUGUUAGCAUUCCAUUGGGGAAUGUGGGCCCUACUAUUCAGCACCCACUUGGAAGCUGAUACGUGCACAGUUGUAUCAUCCGUGCUAGGUAGAAAAUCAUCUGCCGGCCAAAGGAACUAAGUGCCAAGAGUUUUUUUUUUUUUUUUCCCCCUCAAAUUAAAGAAUACGUAUUAACUUUCAACACAUAAUCGCACUAGACAAUGAAUAAAAAUUAAUAAAAUUUUAAAAAAAUGCAUCUCCAUGCAUGAUCUGUAAAAGUCAUGUGGAGAAAAUAUGACAAGUAACAAAAAGCUAACAAAAGUUAAUUCGUAUAAGAAAAUUAUAAAGAAAUCCGUCAUUGAAAUGAGUGGCUCCUAAAUUGAAUCCCGCCUCUGAAGUCUCAUUUCUUGAUAGAACCAUUCAAUGAACUUGUCAGCCCUCUGAUCAACCGAAUCAUCUUCAUCCUCCACCAAAUCCAACGGCUCCCCACAAACUUCACCAGUAACAGCAGCAGGCAGAGUUUCCAGCGCCAAGGAAUAUGGUGGAGAAUUAUGAUGAACUGCAGCAGCUUCUGCUCCUUGAACUUGAAAACCACCAGAGCAUUUACACAGAAAGAACAUGGAACAAAUGUCCUGAAAAACAUCUGUUCUUGUUCAACUUUCUCCUGCGGUAAUGAAUAAGUGGAGUUUAAUGGCAAUAGAGUUUUUGUCCCUAACUUGUCCCUGAAGUCUAUUUUUCUUACAAAAAUGCCCCUUGAUAGAGAUUGAAGCUUGCAUUGCUUUGUGGUAUCAGUACGUGGACUGCCUUUAAAUGAAGUUAGUAAAGCUAAUUUAAUAAUUAAUUCUAAGAGUACUUGCCAUUUAUGAUUCAAGCAUACCACCGUGCUUGACUUUCUACGUGAAUAACGUAUAUCAUUUAUUUAAUUACAACAAUACUCAUUGGAAUCAUAUAGCAAUAGCAAUAGAAAGGCAAAGACAGUUUAAGCUGCCCUUUAAUUACACAAAAUACUCAUUGGGAUCAUAUAGCAAUAGCAAUAGAAAGGCAAAGACAAUUUAAGUUGGCCUUUAAUUAUAUACAAUACUCAUUGGGAUCAUGUAGCAAUAGCAAUAGAAAGGCAAAGACAAUUUAAGUCUUAAUUACGCAGAAUACUCAUUGGGAUCAUAUAGCAAUAGCAAUAGAAAGGCAAAGACAUUUGAAGCCGCACCUAAGGGCCUGACCAAUUGAUUUUUAUUUUUUUAAGUAGAUUUAUUUAGCUUUUUUAUUUGUUAAACAAAUUUAUUUAGCCAACUACCUGGAUUCGAAUCAUAAAUUUAAAUAAAGAAUACGUCAUGUUAACUAUACAACAAGUAAAUGAUGUAAUAACACGUAUAUAUUUAUUUUAAAAAACCACAAUACAAGUGGUGGUUAUAUUAAAUUUAAUUACACACAUCAUAUAUGCAUUAGUUGAUUGUAUUACCUCUAAUGUAUUUUAAAAUUUCCCUUGUAAGUCUAUUUUUAUUACAAAAAUGACAUUUGACUGAUAUUUGAAGCACACUUUGUGGCGUCAGUAAUUGGACUACCUUUACAUGUAGUUACUAAAGGUGAUUUAGUAAGUCUACAAGGGACUGUGUGUGUGUGUGUGUGUGCACGCGCGCGCUCUAUCCACAAUGCAUGAGUUUCUUUAAAGUUCCAAGUAAAUUGAUGAGCUUUAAUAAUGAUUCUUAUGAGUAGAUAGUAUGAAUGAUACUAGUGAUAAGCAUAGGAUAGGUUGAAAUGCAAACUUGCUAUGAUAGAUAUAACAUGAACAAUCCAACAGUAGUUAUUUAAUACUAAAAAAUGAGAGUCUGAAAUAAAAGGGAGAUCAUGAGUAACUAAGUCAAGAACAUGAAAUAAAAGGCGAAAAUCUUAAAAUUUUAGCAUUCCAGGGAAACUAACUUUAAAACUAAAGUGAACUAACUUUAGUUUGUAUUUAUUGAGAUCUCCUCUCAUGAUUAAAUCUUUUAUGGGAUAAAAUUCACUUAAAGGAUUGGUGGUUAAUAAAUUAAAAAUAAAAUAAUUAAAUUUUAAUUAUACACUAACACUAAAGAACAAAUAAAAUUAAGAGAUCAUUGAGAAAGAAUUCUAAUCCGUAUAAAAUAGCUAGUCGUCAAAUAAUUUUUCAUGCCGUGGAAGACUCUGAGCUGCAGACAAUUUUUUGCGUCUUUAAUUUUUUUGUAACCAAGUACUCGGACCGCGAGAAAUUAAAAGGGAAAAAGAACAGUAAUAAAACAAAUAAAUAAAAAAGUAACCAUACAGUCUCUUGCAAAUUUUGUAAUAACCAUACAGAUUUUGAGUACUCGGGACAUUAAACGAAUACAAAUUAAAAAAAAAAAAAAAUCUUGACGACUUUCAUUCAAUAAAUCUGCUUAAAUCUUAAGAGGUUCCUCAACUGGCUGCAAUGUUUCGGCAUCCAGAAUCUGAUUACCAUCCCAGAACAAUAAAUCCUCCCUGAAUUAAGAUUCUUCAAUUAAAACCAAAAAAUUGAAAUGGAAAUAACUAAAUCUAACGAAGAGAAAUCUUUUUGAGAGUAUUUUUCAGUUUAAAAAAAAAAGGGAUACUUACAAAUACAGUCCAAAGUUUCCUUGUUGGUAGAGACAACUACUUUGAUAAUUCACUUGAAUCUGAAAUCGCAGUACAAUUUUCAGUUAUAAAAAUGUGUAUAACUCGGUUAUUAUUAUUAACUCACUCAUUUGUUGAAGGUCAAACCUAAAACCUAAGUUUUAAGAAGGCCGCUUCUUCCCACUGGAGCUUAACAGAAAGUUAGAAACUUAAAUACAAAGGAUAUAUAUGAUCUUACACAUUUGAAGCCCACCACAGUCUUGCAUCCUGUGCAAGUUACAUACGCUAAUGUCACAUCACCAAUUUUAAAAUGAUUGCCUUCUGUUGGAACAACCAAGUUGUCACUGGAUGUCAAGCACGAGAAAUUAAUCACAAUGCAAAAUUAAGGGGAGUUAAUUUCUUAAUUCAACAUGUCAACAAAUGUAACUGAGCAAAUAAAUUACUUACGGAUUCGAUGCAUGAACUGAACGAUUUUGUGCAUGCUACAAAAAUACGUUGAAAGCAAUUGUUAUAACAAAUAUAAUUCAUUGAUAUUACGUACGGUGUGUAUGCAAUUUUGAAUCAAAAGAAUGUGGGUAUGGCAGCUACGGCACAAAUAGAACUGUGAAGAAAAACAAUCAUAAACAAUUGCUUCUUUGUCACCUUCCAUUGUAAAUCUGAUUGAUCAAAAAUAUCUCUCGGAAACCAAAGAAUCGUUAUGUCAAGAAUUGCAUGUGUUAAUUAGAGAAGUAUCUCCUCUUAUAAUGAUUUCAUGAGGAUGUUUCCUACUCGAUUUGUAAUUAAUAAUUGAAAAAAAAAAGAGUUUAACCUGUGGAAGAAAAAAGAAUUCGAGUUAUAUUAUUAUUAUUAUUAUUGCUGUUGUUGAAAAUAACAUUAAUUUGCAGCUUGAAAUAAUUUAAUACGACUCAACUACCUACAACCCUACAACUGUCUUUAUUUGAAUCAUAUCCAAAAGAAUUGUGUCUCGAAUAUCGAUCUGUAAUUAACGGAGUUUAAGUUGUGUUAAAAAAAUAUGAGUUGAAAAUAGCAUUAACUUUUAAUUUCAAUACAUUGAUUCAACCACGAUUGUCUUGUUAACAUUGACUCAACUAUGACUGUCUUGUUAAUAGUGUACUGUGUCGAAAUGUUUGUCUGUAGUAACAAUAAGGAUCUUAUUAAGUUGCAAUUAAUAUAAUUUACCUAUUUAAAACACGUAAACAUAAGUAAUAUAAUAAUAGAAUUCACUUAAUUUUUAGAUCAUUUUAAGUUGGCUGUAAUUGUAACUUGGCAAGACCCUAACAUUAAGCAGUUUACGUACAAGUCAAACUUCUCAUUAGUUUUACUUUCAGAGGUUAAUGCAUUCAUGUGAAAAAGUAAAUUGGACUCCAUGCAAUUGGCUGAUUGGUGGGUCAUAUAGUUCGCAUUCGUCCGAAAGAAAAUCCUGAAUGUAGGACAUGGACAUGUAUACGGAGUGAGGGGAAAUUUUGGAUUAGUGUAACAAGAAAACUUUUGUUUCUUUUCAAAGAAACUCGAUUUGACUUUUUCAUUUUUGCAUUUUGUUUCUUUUGAUUAGUAUUAUAUUUGGAGAUAAAUUCUUGAACUCUGGCAUAAAUGUGAGGAAUUCCAAGGUAUUUCAACAAUCGCUCCUUUAGUAUAAAGAGAAGUAGAUUAAAACUUUUUGUUUACUCAACUUUUUAUGAAUAAAUUGUCUUGUUCAAUUUUUUUUAUGGGUCAAAUUAGUAUCAUAGCCUACGCUUUCCUUUUCUAUGGCACCAAAGGAAGAUGAUGGAGACAACCGACUUGUUGAUGACGAUAAGAGGAUGAAGGCUCUGGUGGCGGAAGAUGGCCCCAACAGAUGAGAGAGCGUUGCCGCGGGAAGGAUUUUAGGAAUCAUGAUCAGAGGAAGAUUCUGAUGAGGAUAUAUGGGUGUUUUAUCUGUCAAUAUAUGGGUGUUUUAUAUGUCAAAGGCAAGGGGUUCUUGCAUGUAAAACUUUUUUUUUCAAAGAUUGGUUGAAUAGUGUGGAAAAUUUAUUUGACAUUGCCCUAGUUUGAAACUGAUUGCUUAAAUAAUUAAGUUCAAGGCGCAUAGUGUACAUAGAUGAUUGUAAAUUGGAGGCGAUAGUGGGAAUUAAAAUGCGCCAAUUCGAUUAUGGGAGAAGGUGAAGAAGCAACUGAAGGCGCAGUUCUAUCAGCCAGAAAACAAACACCCAGUUCAGCUGAAAGAUGUAACAUCUCAUACCAACACAUUAAAAAAGUUUAUAAAGCUUUUUAUAUAUGAAGAAACUGAAUUAUUGUCUUAUGUAUGCUGCAAAUUUAUAUAUAUAAAGAAUCUUGCACUAAAUGUACACAAUAAUGAAAUUCCAUGUCAUUAAAAAACCAUCCCCAAAAUUAAAAUUUUCAAACAACAAUACUUGUAUGAUCGGAGUGAUAAUCAGAAGAACCUGACCUCAAAGAAAAAGAAGCACUCUGGCGCUGUUAACCCUGCAUAACCUACCAAUCAGCCGUGCACCUUUUAGCUUAAGCUCAGAUUUUAUUUUGCAAAUUUAUAAUUAUCAACAACCGCUCUUUCUCUUUUCUCCCAACUUAUAACCCAAAACCAAGCACUUGAAUUCUUUCGUUUCAUCACUCUCUUUCUUCUUGGAUUCUCAUUUCUCUCAACUGAUAGCCCAAAAUCAAGAACUUAAAUUCUUUCUUUACUCUCUCUUUUCUUGAGGCAUUUCUUCUCAAAAAGCACUUGGCAUUCAAGAGAUCCUUGAUCAGCUUAAUUCGUAUAUAAUUCUCACGUACAAUGUGAAUCCUUGUGUAUUUGUUUCUGGUGAUAAUUAUUUGGUUACUUUAUACAGCAACAGUUUCUUGGAUUGUUAAAAACCUGGAAUUAGAUUUAGGGCCCGUUUCGAACAAGAAUUUACAUAAAUCUAUAAUAGAGUAGCUCUGGUGUCAAUUAGCUUCAACUACUACCCUUUUUGCUUCAGAAUUUAUCCUUAAUUUACUUGUUUUGGAGAUAAUGCCUUGGUCUAACAGUUGUUUUCAAUUCGUUUUGCAGCAUGUACCAACUCGGUCAAUGAUCAUAGAUAAUGGGUAAUAUAUUUCUUGAAGAUUAUUUAUUGUCUUUGAUAACUGAUGCUUAAGGAACCAUCUGAAACUAUGAUUUUGUUAUGUUCUUGGCAUGUAGUUUCAAUCUGCUGGUGCCCUAUCCAAGAAACUAUUUGAGGAUUCGCAUUUACACUUGGAUAGAGUUGCAUUGUGUUGUAGGCCGCAGGUUUCUAAGCCAUAAAACCUUAAGAUCUUCUAGACAUUUAUCAAUCUCUUCCUAGAAUCUCUUUUCAAGUCCAUGAAAUAUGUCAAGUCGUUUAUUGAUGUUAUAAUGCUAGCUAUCUUACUUUAUUCCUGAGAAGGAAGAGUUUUCGAAACAGUGGAAGCACUGAAGAAUAUACAAGUUCCAUAAUUCCAGUAUACCUUUUGGGUUUUGAAUUUUGAUUGAAAAACUUUGAUUCCAUUAUACCUUUUGGGUUUUGAAUUUAGUAAAUAAUGGCGAACCAAAAAGCAUACUAUCAAGAACUAUAAUAAUUAAUUAAUUUCAAGGAGUCAAACAAGCACUUGAUUAAUCUAAACUUAUUGAUGAUGAAAGUCACAUAAUUAAAAAAAAAAUAGUUUGAGAAAAAUGGAUUUUUAUUUUUAUACAAAGUAAGGGUAAUUUGGUCUUUGUCAUGUUAAUUGGUCAUAUCAGUGAACAAACUAAAGAGUGAGCACAUUGUGAAGCCAAAAAAAAAAAAAAAAAAGGAGCGAGCAUAUUGCUGAAAAGUAUCACUUUUUAGUUUUAUGGCGUAUCUAUUAUCUAAACAAAAAACUCAAAAUGUUUGGGUCAAAUUCAAUUUACCCAUAUGACGAAAUUUACAAACAUUGGUUUACUCCCAAAGAUCCCAAAAAGUCAUCAAUGCACACUAGGGAUGGCAAUGGGGAGGGGAGGGGAGGGGACCGAUCUCCCCGUACCUAUCCCCGAUAUUUUGUGUAUGUUUCCGUCCCCUCUCCGUCCCCGUCAGAAUUACUUGAGAGAAUCCCCAUCCCCUCCCCGUCUCCGUCAGAAUUACUUGAGAGAAUCUUCAUCCCCUCCCCGAAUAAUAACAGGGGAUCCCCGAGGGUCCCCGAUCCCCGAAUAACUAAUAUAUUUUUUUUUUCGAUCUUGAGUUAAUCAUAUUAAAAUAAAAAAUUCAAAUAAAAGUAAAGUUCGAAAUAUAUCUUACAUUAAUAUCUAUUACAAAAGUCACAUACAUUAAAUUAGUAAGUAACGCAACAUGCAAGGGAUACAAACUUCUUUUAUAAACUAUUAUGAACAAAUUAAUAGUCUAAUACAAAAUUGUUACAAAUAAAAUCGAAUUUAGAUUCAAAAUUAACUUUUUCAAUGGUGGCGUGGGCACUUUAUAAAUGUGGACUAUUCCCUUUACAACACAAUAGUUAAAUCGGAGCAAAUCAAAAGCAAAUAUUAGAUUAGAUUAGAUUAGAUAUUAAAAUUGUGAUUCGCUGUGGGCAAUUAUAACAUCUAAAAAUAAAUAAAAAAUAGAUUUAAGUUUAAAAUAUUUAAAGAAUAUUAAAAUUAAAAAAAAUGUUUGGCUAUUAGAAUCUACUCGGUCUUUUUAAUGUCCUAAAUAAAAAUUUAAGACUUUAAUUAGUUAAUCUAAAAGUUUAAUAAUAUAAAUAUUUUGAUAUUUUUUAUUUUUACCAAUAUUUAUAAUUUUAUAAUUUAUUUACUAGUAAUUUUAAAAAAUUAAAAUAAAAUUAAAAAUUAAAAUGGGGAAAUGGGUAGGGGAUGGGGAUUCCACCUCAUCCCCGUCUCCUCCUUGAAUAAGAAAUUGGGUAAAAAAAUUUUUCCGUCCCCUUCCCGAAUAAGAAAUUGGGUAUGAAAUUAUCCCCAUACCCUCCCCGAAUGGGGAAAAUUCUCGAGGAUACCCGUCCCCGUGGGAAUUUUUGCCAUCCCUAAUGCACACCCUUUUUAUUUGGGUUUUGCUAAUGUUUUAUAUAGAAUGAUAAUCUUCGCCCGAUCAAAAUCUACUCUUUUGCUAUAAUUAUUUUACUAAUUAAUGUAUUUGUAUAAUCCAAGCUUACAUCAGAAGAGAAUUUGAUUCGUUUUAUUUGGGUAUUGCUGAUGUUCCCUUUCAUGAGUACGUUUGGCCAGUUCACUUCAAAGAAAUUAUUUUUUUUUUUUUUUUGAAAGGUCAAAAAAUAGUGAAUUUUGAAUAUGGUAAAGCACUAAAGUUAUUUCUACUUUCAAAUCUACUCUGGACACUUUUAAUAUAAUUAAAUUUUAUAUUACUUAAAUGUCCAUAAUUUAAUUGUUAUUAAGGACAAUUUAUACUCUUCACACCCAUAUUGAGCACUCAUUAAAAUUUAUUUAGUGAAGUGAAUGAAUCUUUAAAGACUUUAUUUUAUUUUAUUUUAUUAUUUUACCUUUAACUUAACGGUUGAUUCUUAUCAUAAUUUUCUAAUCAUGACUAGAGAAAGUCACCUUCUUUGGUUUCUUAUGUAGUAGUGAAUUGAAAAUUAAAAAUCAUGGACCACUUCUUCUAGAGGAAUCUAGAAAUUGUCAUAGAUUAUUUUUUUUAGAAGAAGAGAAGGAGAAGGAAAGUUAUUUGGGUGCAGUAAAUAACUUUAUGGCUAUAGAGAGAAAAAUAAAAUAUUUAUUACACGUAAUUUAAUUGAGAACUAUUUUAGUAUUUAUAAGAGUAUGUAGAAUAAAAAUAAAAAUUUUAAAAUUAUUAAAUGAGCGGACAGAAAAAUAAGAUGUUUGGAGUAUUCUACACAUCGACACUUUGACAGUAGACUGUGGGUCCCAAUUAGGGACUUCUUUAUUUCGACUUUGCGAACGAUUAAGACGAUGUCGCCUCAUUCUCAAGACGACAGUUACAACCGAGAAUCACCGAAGCUGCUUUUCCCUCCACCCUUUUCCUUCUCCUUCUCCUCCUCUGUGAUAAAUAAAACUCACGAUCAUCAAGAUUCAAGAACCCCUCCCUCCUUCUCUUAAUCUCUUUCAACAAAUAACCCAAUUGAAAUAUCAGAACCAAGAACUGAAAUUCUUCCAUCACUUUCUUUCUUUUCAACCAUUUGUCCAUUGCAGCUGCUAUAAGAUUGAUUUUUAGUUCAAAGCUGCAGGAUUUUCUUGGAGGAUUCUUUUUUAAGAGCAUUUAGAGAGUUGCUGAGAUCUUUGAUCACUUGAAGUUGGAAUGGCAGAGUGCUCUGAUAUUGUUAAUUUUGAUCAUACUCGGCAAGGCAUUAAGUUCUACAUGUGCCGUGAAUGCAAAAUGCAUAUUGCUUUGGUUGGAGAUAAUGAUAUGGCUGUACGUCUUUUUCUCUCUAAUCAUCUUGUUGUACUUCAUAAUUUCAUUCGGGUGCUUUUUCUUUUCUCUGCGCGCGUGAUUGAGUCUGCUUGAGUUUGUUUACCAAGAAAGGCCAGAUUCUUUGGACAUGAAGCGACCCCAUGUUCUAAUAAUAAUUUUUGCUUACAAUACAUUCUGCAGCAUGGGGAUACUUGGUCAAUCAACCUGGAGACCGCGUAAGAUAUUUUCUUCAACUACACUUGAUGAGACAUCCAUUGAUAUUUUCAAUAUAACUUGAUAUAUUAGAAUUUGUAUUUUUUUGUGAUGAAGUACUAUUCCAUUAGAAAGUAUGACCCCAUUGUUGUUUGACAUAUAGAGUGAACUUGGUGAAAAGCAUCCCAGAACAUUAUGUGGCCUCUGGCAGAACCAAAAUGGCAUAUAUGUCUUGUAUUUACUGCAGAACACCCUUGGGCUGGCAAUAUGUAAGAUCAUAUUUUGCACCUGUAGUUUCUGUCUUCUGCAUCAAAUGAAUCAAAAUAUUCAUGCAUUAUGUUCUUUCAGGUUGAAGUUGAAUCUCCCACUAAUUUGAUCAAAGAAGGAAGAGUCAUCCUGUAUCUGUAAGUUUGUGAAUCAAUAAGAGUAUCUGUAAGUUUGUGAAUCAAUAAGAGUCAUCCUGUAUCUGUAAGUUUGUGAAUCAAUAAUGGAACUUCAGAACAUACAAAGCUUUGCCACGGGGCUUGCUCCUGAAUGUGGGUUUUAUGACUGGGUUCUGAAUUUUGAGUGAAGGCUUUUAAUUUCAGGGACAGGUUGCUGUACUGGAGUGGUGCCGAGAAAAUAAGAGACGUAAUCACUAGUCACUAGACGAUAACCGGGGUAAUGACAUAUAUAGUUCAAUUACAUCAGAGCAGCGGUAGCUAGGUUAACAUGCAAUUGCUCCACAUGAUUCUUUUCCGUUUCUGUUUCUCCAUUUAGGUCAAUUCUUUACGGAUUUGUUUAAUCUUCUCUGUACUCUGGAUAUGAUAUAAGGAGAUGAAUUGUUUUUUCAUGGUUACUAUUAGUGAAUAAAAUAAGUGAGGUUAUUAUUGAAAUGGAUAAUAUCAAUUAAAAAUAGUUGCUGGACAGAUGUAAUAAAUAGAACUAUAGUUGGUUGACACCUCCUAUUAAAUUCACUAUAAAAGAACACUAGGAAAAAAAAGGAAUAUAGAAGCAGAGCAAGAAAGAAGAAAGCAGAGCAAGUAGGAAGUCAAGCAAGAAGCCAUAAAGAAGUCAAAAAGCCAAGAAGCCAAAGAAGAAGUCCAGCAGCCGAGAAGACAUAAAGAAACCGAAGAUCAUAAGCUGAAACAGAGAGUACUAGCAGGAGCAAACACAAAGAACAGCAGCUUAUUUGUUUGUAACAACAGUUGCUACAAAGAUAUUUGAGGCGCUUGAAUACUUUUGGUAGCUUUGAAAUACAUCAAUCAAAAUUAACACCAGAAGCUGCUAUUCGCUGAAAAUUCUGGUGUUUUUUCACUCGCAAAUCUUUCGGUAUAUAUGUUUGCUUGUAAUGUGAACCAGCUUCAUAAUGGAUUGAGCCACUUACUUUUACUUGUUUGUUUGGCAUUUUGUGUCUGAUGACCAGGUUUCCAUAAUGGCAACUAGUUAGCCAACUACUGGUGUUUUCUGUAUUUUCUCCAAACAACGGGGACUGCCGUGUCAAUUACCCUUUGUUGAACCUAUAUACUUCACCACAUAUCGGUUGUACAUGAUUCUCACCAAGUCACCCUCAUCAGUUAUUUUUAUCUACAUGAACUUGUACACAUAUUUAAGAAAUUAACAUAAUUCUAAAUUUGCUGCACCAUUGGUUUCUAUACCUGAACCAAGAUAAUGUUAUUGAUUCGUAAUUUAUAAUUCUGAAAAAUGAAAUUUGACCUUUGCGUUUAUCUUUGUUAAAGAUUCUUUGAUGCCUAUGAGCUAUGAGCUAUGAAGAUUAUUGAAGGGAUAAGACAAAAGAAAGAUAUAUUAUAUAUAUCUUAUUAAAUAUCCCGAAGGCCCACGAAAGAACCAGAAAUUUCAUUUUACUUUAAUAAAAAGCAACCAGAUUACCAGAAUCCUCCUCAAAAUCCUAUAAAUAGGCCUCUUGUGACUCUCCAUUUUCAUCCUGAAAUUGAUCAAAGCAUUCAAGGAAAGAUUACUCCAACUCUUGAACAUUUUCUUAGCUUCAUAAUUUUCCAAUCAUGUCACUCAUUCCAAGCAUCUUCGGCGGCCGAAGAACCAACGUGUUCGAUCCAUCUUCACUAGAUGUGUGGGAUCCUUUUGACGGGUUCUUCUCCUCUGCCCUUACCAAUGUGCCGUCUUCGGAUAGGGAAACAUCCCAAUUUGCCAAUGCAAUAAUUGACUGGAAAGAGACUCCUCAGGCUCACGUAUUCAAAGCUGAUCUUCCAGGGCUGAGGAAAGAAGAAGUGAAAGUUGAGGUUGAAGAGGGCAGGAUUCUGAAGAUAAGCGGAGAGAGGAGCAAGGAGCAAGAAGAGAAGAAUGACAAGUGGCAUCGCGUCGAGAGGAGCAGUGGCAAGUUCCUGAGGAGGUUCAGGUUGCCCGACAAUGCUAAGAUGGAACAGGUUAAGGCCAGCAUGGAGAAUGGUGUGCUCACAGUCACUGUUCCUAAAGAGGAGGAGAAGAAACCUGAAGUUAAGGCCAUUGAGAUCUCUGGCUAAGUGAUAAAUGUAAAUGUUUUCAAGAUUGUGUCUAUGGUUUGCCAAUAAAUUUGGUACGAAAGCAAACCCCUUGUGUCUGUUCUUCACCCCCCCCCCCCCCCCCUCUCCUCUCUCCUUAAUUUGAUGCGAUAAUAUUUGUGUGUUUGCAAUUGUAAGUCUGAAACUUUGAUAACUAGUUUCUGAAAAGAUAAAUUGUGUAAUAAAAUGUAAUUUAUAAUUUGAAUAUUAGAUUUGCAAAUUUUUUGUUUUUGACGGAGCAGUUAUUUCCGACAACAAUCAUUACCAAAACAGAUUAGAUGCUUAAACCCAUGCUAGCCAUGGAUUCGAUCCAGCCACUUUCCCCUAUGGCUACCGGGGAAUAAUCAGGGAAGGUGUCUAAAAAAAGGAAGCAGAGGUUCUUCACUUCACGCGACAUAGUUACGCUCAGGUUUCACCAAUAGGUGCACCAGAUAGAUGCCCCCCUAAGACUAGGUAGCCAGACUUUCUCCCCGGCUUGGAUCGGGGAUAGAUUGUUGAUUUUGCGUUGCCUCCACCGGGGUGUCAUGGGGUUUAGGAAUUCUUACAUUCUGUCUUUCCGAAGAGUCGCUUAAAGUGUAUAAUUAAGAAAUAUUUCAUCCCAAAUUGAAUUAAGAAAAAUUGUUGGGAUGUUAAGGAUUAGUCUUGGUUUCGUCAUCAUCGACAUACAUAAAAUCCUAACACAGAGAGACAAGACACGUAUAAUAGGCUAGAAGAUCCUUAAAUACUCAACAGAAAAAAAGAAAUUGCUAUAUGUUAAAUCUUUGGAUUAAUGAUCUAUCAUAAUAUAUGUUAAAUCUUUUAGAGAUGCGCACUUCCGAUCCUCUAAGUUGGGAUUGUCAAUAAAAUUUUGUUCGCGCACCAGAGGCAGCUAGAAGGUUAGAGAAACAAGUGAUUUAUUGCACAAAAUUUAGCCUUGAUUUAAAACACGGCUUAAUUUCAUUGGGCGGGCCCUCCCAUUCCACUAAUUUGUAAAAGGCCUGAUCACACGAAGAACGUCAAGACGUUUCCUAAAAUAAUUGUAACCUACAUAUCGUAUACUCACAUUCUUGAGGACGACAUGUCGUUGGAGAUGAGAAGCCUAGCCGCUUUAACUUAGGAGGGAACCCGUCCGCUGUUUGGGCCAUAGAAGAAGCAGCGAUUAUGGCGAAAGCACAAGGCGCGCAACUCUUCGUCAGCAGUAUGUCCUCUCUCAAUCAUUAAAAUUAAUAUAUUUUCUCUGAAUUUGUCUAGGUUUUGAUUUCUGAUUUCGUUUAUAGGGUUGUCGUCGUACAUCACAACUAAAGAAUUCAAAGCUUUGUUUUCGCGGUUUGGUGUCGUUACGGAUGGUAAUUUUAGCAUAAUUUUCAUCAAAUGUUUUAAUUGAUUCUAUAGUUUUCAAAAUCAAGAUUAGUUUGUUAUUGUUUUGGGGCUUUUAAAUCGUGUGCCGGUGUCUGCAGCUAAGCUAAUAACGGACCCAAAGACUCAAAGACCGAAGGGGUUUGGCUUUAUCACAUUUCAGUCAGAGGAUGAUGCACAGAAAGCAUUAAAGACCAUGGAUGGCAGGGUACCAGCUCCUUUUGAUUUGAUUUAUGCAUUAUAGUUUUAUUUUUGUGUGUGUGUGUGUGUGUAUAAACAUACCUUUUUUUUGAGGUUUAUUCAUGUAUAAGGAUUUCACUAUGAAUUAGUUUUGCAAAAUCGUGGAAAAUGCUUGAUAGGAAUUAGGUUUUUCUAUAUUGUCCAUUGUAUGACUGCUAAUAAUGGCAACUCAUAGAAGCUUAUUAGUUUUCACAUUUUCUGAGAUGUUUGUUCUCAUGCACUGCAUUUAUAGCUUAAUUAAUUUGGUUUAACUCAUAUGGGUUUAUUAGUCAAGUUAAUUUUGUUUGUAAUAAAGGAUCCAUUCUUGUUGAGAUGUAAGACCAUACUAUUAGAAACUUCGUUCCAUAAUCAUUCCCCCCCCCCCCCCCCCCAAAUUGUUAUGUUGGCUAAGAAGAAUUUUACAAUUUUUACUAAUGAAAGAGUUGGGUAUUGAUGUUGCAGCCUAAUCACAGGUAAUAUAUAUUUGCAGUUAAUAGCUGUGUGGCUCUUCUCACUCCAGUAUUUUUAUUUCCUGAUUCUAUGUUGGAACUUCUCUUUUGUAUUAAAAGCAAAAUCUACUUCUGGGUUAUAUGCAACUCUUCCCUCGUACACUAUUUGUCGAUUUGAAUUCUAGUGUCAUUUAUUUCUAACUUCCUGACCCUCCAUGGUCUCUUUGAAUUGUUGCAAUUUUAGUUCGUUUUCUUUACAGUCUGCCUAAUGGCAGAUUUUUACAUCAGCAUUUCCGCAAUACAUGCCGCCAAAAUGCACUACUUUUGCUGCAUUUUGCAUGUGAUUAGGCUGCCUGCUGUUGUCGUGAAAUUAUAAUUCUUGACCUCGAGUCCUACCAAUGUCAGUUUAUCUUGUUAUUUUGCACAGAUUGUGAAUGGGAGGCUGAUCUUUGUUGAGGUUGCAAAGAGUAGAAGUCCUGGAACGGAUGCCAGCCCUUGAAAAUUAAGCAGUUUUGACUAUGUCAGUCCUUAUUAUAUCUGUUUUUAGCUUCGGCAACCAAAAAUAGUGUGUAACAUGUGAUAGGUUUUAUCACAUGGCAGCCUGUAUGAUAUCCGAGAUGUAAUCAAAUGGCCGCCUGUCAACCUGUGUGUCAUAUGAGAUCAAAUUGAAAUUAACAUUUUUUUUUGUCUGUGGUCGUGCAUCCAUUCUGUUAGUAGUAUAACCAUUUCAAGUCUUUGAGGCUGACAUUACAUCCCUGGUGAUUCAAACAAGUUCCUUUACUUGAACCACAGCAUCACACAACAAAGAAUAGAAGAAUGCAUAUAGAUUUGCUGGGAACUUUCAAGCCAGUUCAAUUAGGCAAUCUCUAUCUUACAUGCAUAUAAGAUACAUUCUCCUCACAUGAAUAGUAUAUGUGUGGAAUCCACACACUAUUCAUGUGAGGAGAGUGUAUCUUACAUGCAUGUAAGAUAGAGAGACCCGUUCAAUUAUAGAAAAAAAAUGUACGCGGAAACCAGGAUUUCGAAAUGUUUCAUCAUCAAAAAAUAAAACAAGUUACAUGUUUCAUCAUCAAAAAGAUGGAAGAAGUUGAGAAAGAUUCAGGAGUCUGAGUCGUUGAAAGGACAUAAUCUAAAAGUGAAAAGUUACAUUUAGAAAAUGAUUAGGUUGCAUGGCAGUUCUUGUUAAACGCAAUUGUUGCAUCGUUAGACCUGCAUAAAUCAAGAGCCAAACUGUUACCAUGUUCAGAAAAUUGAGUGUGUUGUUGAAAGGCUUAAAAAUUGUAAAUGACAAGUAGAAGGCGCUUUUGCAGCAACAGAUCACAGUGAUCUAGCUUUCUUAAUUAGCUCAUACAAUGUUUUGCUGCCGACACCAUUCCAUAAAGCAAUUCGACUUUGUUUCUAAAUCAUGCUUGAAGAUUAUUUCCACAUGAUUUCUAAUUUCAAAUUCUGUUUUCUUAUUUCCAAAUUCCACAACUGAAGAAGCAGUUUAUACUUUAAAAUGUCUGGAAUACAAGAAUGUGGCAUACGCUGUUGAAAAAUAAAUCCUUUUGGUUGUCGAUGUUGAUGAGCCAGUUGCUGUUGGACUGCACUACCUGUUGAGAUUAAAAUAGGCGCUAGAACAGCAACUGGUAAGGGGAAAAGGAAAUGGAAAACGCCACGGAAAGAAUCCUGGCAUCUCCUUUAUCCAAAUUCCUACCUCAUGGUGAUGGUAGGAACUAGGAACAGUGGGUGAUCAUCAAUCGACUAUGAAAUAAAGCAUGAUGAGCCUAGAAAUAGAAUUCAGUACGAGUAGUCUCAAAAGAAGAUACGGUUUAUCUAAACAAAUUCCCCUACUCAUUCAAUUUCAUUUGAUGCCAAGCCAUGAUCCUAAUGUGGCCUGAUUAAGUGAAAUAAACCUGGAAUGUUCAAAUUAAACUCUAAGUUUUCAACUGUUCAAAUGUUAAACAAUAAAGUCCUAACUACAGCCUACAGCCUACAACCUGCAUCCUACCCAGAACUUAUUCAAACUAAUACAAAUGAUGAGUUGGUUUAUUAAUGCAAGGCAUUCAAGCCUUCAUCACAUGUAUCUUAGAGCACCCAGAAGCUUACCAAAAAUAGUAAAACAAGAAGUGAGCAAAACUGAAACCCAACCAACCCAACAAAGUCCAAGCAACCACUGACCAAACUGAAAAAAAAAAAAUGAUCUCAUCAGCUGCGAUUCCUUUUUCUCUCAAAGUUAAUCAAAUAUACUAAUUUCACUAUAUGCUUACACCUGAGUUAAUCAACUAUACCAAUUUCACUAUAUGCUUACACCUGAGUCCAAGUAUCAAUCCUUGUGCGCAUAAUUCACCCGAAUGUUUCUGCCAUCCAGUAACUGAAACAACCAUAAAGCCACACAUGGAUUACAAAGAAACAUAACAGUUCAUUACUAGCCUGUACUUUAACAUAUCGAUGUCUUUUGAAGUUCUACAUACCAGGCCAUCCAUUUCCUUGAUAGCCUCCCCGGCUGCAGCUUCAGAAGCGAACUUCACAAAACCGUAUCCUCUUGAUUGCCCAGUCACACGAUCACAUAUAACCUUAACUGCUAAAAAUAACAAUGAUUUCCCGAUAAGACUUUUCGGCUAUAAAGAACCAUAAUGGUCACCCAAAAAUUCACCAAGGACAUCACCUUCAAUAAUUUCACCAUGCUGUCCGAAAGCAUCCUUCAAAACAGUUUCAUUAGUGUCAUACGAAAGCCCUGCAAUUUUUUUUUUUUUAAAAAAAAAAUUACAGCUUCGAAUUAGCUUAGAGUAAUGAUACAAUUUAUGUUUUUGCAUAUAAUUUGGACACGAUCUCAUGAAGGAUAUAUUUCAGAGUGAAUAAUAAUAAUAAUAAUAAUAAUAAGACCCACCAUUGAAAUAGCCUAAAAUCAGUAACUCUAAAAGAGUUUCAUUAAUUCUAAAAUAAUAUGUAUAUGCCCCAAAAUUUUUAUAAAAAAAAGGGGAAUCAAAGGCGAAAAAAUCGAGAGAAGAGACCUCCAAUGAAUAAUUUGGUACGAGAGUUUGAAUCCGAUAGCAAUCUGAUGAAGCGUACUGAAUGGGAAAAACGAACGCUGCCGUUCAACCACUGCAUGAUCUCUUAUCGUGUGCCGACAGCGAGGUGCAUAAUAGCAUAAAGCGCAGAGCACCAGACAGGCACGGGCAUUGGUCACUAGAGUUGCCAGCGGUGAUGUGUUACUAAAUAACGGCACCGUUUCAAUUACAGUAAGUAGAGCUGUUACAUCACAUAGCAAAGUAAAAUGUUCAACGAAACGACACCGUUUUCCAUAGUAAAGAAGCGAGCAGGACGAACAAACCGGGCUUCAGCUUGGUAAAUUAAUCUCGAUUAAAAUUUAAAGGCGCCAACUUUCAAUUAUAAAGAAAAAGAGUUCGAUUAUAUCAAUAACAAAUUCUUGUAGAAGAUUUAUAAACUAUAAUUAAAUCCCCAUAUUGAAAGGGUUUAUAGUUACAAAAAACUUGUUUCAAUUCAUUUAACAGGCCGAGGCUAUGCUAACAACAUACACACAGCAUAUAUCAAAAGAAAAAAGAGCAAAAUGGGAAAACCUAGACUGAGCAUUACAUGCGGUAGCACUCAAGAUACAACUAAUCUAGGCUUUCUUUGGGGACUUGGUAGCCUUGGAUGGAGAUUUGGGCUCCUUCGCAACACUUUCCUUAGUCUUCUUUGGCAACAGCACUGGGUUGAUAUUAGGCAAAACGCCGCCGCUUGCAAUCGUCACACCUGUGAGUAAUUUCCCCAACUCCUCAUCAUUCCUCACCGCUAAUUGCACGUGCCUUGGGAUGAUCUUCUUCUUCUUGUUGUCACGUGCCGCGUUCCCAGCCAACUCCAACACCUAAGACAUAUUUUAAAAGAAAAAGGCUUGCUUGGUACUGGGUUCAAUUUUGGAAAAAAAAAAUUAUUAACUUUGAUUUAAUCAAAUUUUUAAGCAAGGAUAAGCUUGUAUCUUACUUCAGCAGCUAGGUACUCGAGCACAGCGGCCAUGUAAACUGGAGCACCGCUACCCACACGCUGCGAAUAUCUUCCCUUCUUCAAGAAACGCCCGAUUCUACCUACUGGGAAUUGGAGCCCCGCUUUCACAGACCUGGAAACGGAUUGCUUUUUCGGUCCUCCUCCCUUCCUUCCGCCGGCUCCCUUCUUCACUUUGACUGGUGUAUCCAUGACCCAACCUCAAAAUGCAGAAAGAUUUACUUCAACAAAGUUACGGGUUUCGUGGGUGUGAAUGCGGGAUAGUGGCUGUUGGGUGCGCUGCUUUAUAGAUGAGUGUUAAAGAGUUUGAGGGUGGGAAAUUGUUUGGAGUGUAGGAUCUGGACCUUUGGAUUUAGAGGAAAUCGACGGUUGUAGAUGAUUUUAUUUCGAUCUGCGUCGUUUAAAAAGGACCAAUGGGAAGCGAGCUUCGAUUUGAAAAUGGGUUAAUUUUGUCCUGCCCCCAAAUGUUUCAACAUUUUUCACCGAGUCCCCAAAUGUUUCAACAAUAUUCACUCCACACCCAAAUCCGUUAUUUUGACCGUUUAUUCUAACGGUCAAAAGGUAAAUUUGAAAAUUUAUAUCCUAAAUAUUAUUUGAUGAUGAUAAAUUAAAUUUAUUUGAUAAUUUAAUUGAUAGAAUUAUUAUUAAUAACCUUUAAAUAAUUUUUUUUAAUGUAAACAUUAAUUAUUAAAUUAACAUUUUAUCUCAUUUUAUUUUUCUCUAAUUCAAGAUAAGGGGUAUUUCGAAUAUUUACUUAAAUUUUAAAUAGCUCCAUUAAACAUAACGGUCAAAUUAAAGAAAUUGGGUGUGAAGUGAACAUUGUCGAAAUAUAUGGGUGCGUGGUGAAAAAUGUUGAAACAUUUGGGAGCAGGACAAAAUUAACCCUUUGAAAAUUUUAAGGGCUUUUCUUCCGUAUCCAGUAUUUUCGUUUUGAAUUUCCCGCUAUGUCUCUAGAAGCAUCUGUCAGAAAUUAAGAUCUAAUUAAAACUUGUUCAUUUUCAGAUGGUUAAAAUUGAAAUUCAAGUCGAACCAAAACCACUUGACUUGAACUUUACUCGUUCAAUUUCUUAGUUGAAAAACUAAAUGAGAAGAUUAAAUUAUAUUGGUUUUAUGGAGAUUUGGGCUCCUUCGCAAUACUUUGCCAUUUUUUCACUUUAUGUUGAAUAUAUUUAAGUGUUAAUGUGCUCAAUUUAUUCUAAUUUGACAUUACUGAUUGAAAAUAGUGAUAAUCUUGUCUUAUAUAAAAUGGCAACAAGUAUGAAAAAUAAAUAUGAUAAAUAUUGGGGUUCAAUUCAUAACUUGAAUAAUUUGUUGCUCAUUUCAAUUAUUCUCGAUCAACAUUAUAAGUUAAAAUAAGCGACAUUUUGCUUUGAAGACAUUUUUAUUACUGAUGAGAUUGGUAAGAAGACUAAAGAGGCGAAAAAUCUUUUAGUACGUUUUUAUAAUUACUAUAAAUAUUUUAACACUAAGAUUGAUGGUUGUGGAUCAUCUAGUAGUGCUGGUAAGUCAUCAAUCAUUGAUAGUAGGAAAUUUGAUAAAAAGGUUGGGUUUUCUAAACUUUCAAGUGUUGUAAAGUUCAAACAAAAAAUAAGAAAAGAUGAUUGUGUUGAGAUAAAAAAAAAAUGAAGUAGAGAGGUACUUGUUGGAGCCAUGUGAACAUGUUGAUGACGAUGACUUUGAGACUUUGGCAUGGUGGAAAAUGAACUCAAUAAAAUAUUGAGUCCUUUCACACAUUGCAAAGGAUGUGUUUGCAAUUCCAAUAUCUACAUUAGCUUAAAAAUAUGCAUUUAGUACUAGAGGACGCAUCAUAUAUUCAUUUCGUAAUUCUUUAAGUUUGAAGAUGGUCGAAGCUUUGAUAUGCUCACAAAAUUGGUUACGUAACACUUUUGUCCCAUUACAAGAUGAACCAACAAUAAGUUUUAUGAAGUCAUGAUGUCAGGUAACUAUUCAUCAUAAUAAGUUUAAAAAAAUUAUAUAUUUGUUUAUCACUAGUCUUUUUUCCAUUAAUUUAUUUUUUAUUUAAUGUAGAGUUUGGAUCAAAUAUAAUAACAUAGACGAUGACUUUAAAUUGUUGUUAUUCUCAUGAUUUUGGUAUGAAUCAUGUUCUUUUCUAAAUUUACUCAUCUUUAUAACUAUUCAACAUUAUAAUUUUUCUUUUUUGGUUAUUUAUUUGUAUUGUAAUAUGGUUAAUACUAUUAGAUUUUUAUUUUUUUUCUUUUAAUUUACUUUUUGAUGUCAUGUUUGUGGAAGUUUAUUAUUGAUGUCAUGUUCUUUUCUAAUUUUUUAUCCACAAUAUUUUUCAUAUUUUAAUAUUAAUUAUUAAUUAUUAUAAUUUUGACAUAAUUAAGUUGAUCAAAAUAAAAAAUAUUUUGAUUAUAAAAUUCAAACCAAACCCAAGUGAGUUGGUUUGGGUUGUAUUAAAAGUAUUUGGGUUGGAUCUAUAUUUUUAUAGUUUGAUUUGAAUUAACUUAAAGUCUAAUUCAAACCAACCCAUGUUCACCCCUAAUAAUGGUACUACUAGUGGAAAUUUAUUUUUUAAAAAAAAAGACGAGCGAUUUAAUCUUAUCAUUUACACUUCUUUUUUAACAGUAUAUAUAGGUUUCAAUGGGGUUGGACAAAUUCAGGUUUGGGUUGGAUUUGAAUCAACUCAAUCAAGUUUUAGAUUAAUUGGGUUGGAAAAAAAAGAAAUGAUUCAAACUCAAGUUGAACUUGUAAUUUGAUUUGAACAUAGUUAUGAUCGGAUCAGAAAUUUAUGUUUGUGUGUGCAUUGUGAUUCGGAUCGUAUUAGAUUCUUGAUUGGAUCCGAUCAUGAUCAAGUUGGAUUCUUCAUCCGCAUCCAAUUCGAACUCAGAUUUUGCAGGUCAAGUUAUUUGCUCACCCCUAAGUUCCAGCCUAUAAAUAUAUAGUCUAUUACAUACGUUUACGUUAAUAUACCAUUAAUAUAUUACUCCAUACAAUCGGUCAAGUCACUAAAAGCUUACUGGCAAAUAUAAAGACAAAUAGGAUAUGAGAUACCGACAAUAAAUAUCACUACCUAACAUGUAAUAUAAUACCAUAACACUGUGAAAAAUAAUCCUUUACUCUUUUAACAACCCCCACCUCGAGUGUUAGCCUUACCAACUGAAACUUACAAUAGAUAUGCAAGUUUGUGUAAGUGUAUGAAAAAAAAAAGGUUAAUUAUCAUUGGGUGACACAUGUUUUGAUAAAUUUUAAAAAAGUGACACAUAUUUUAAAAAUAUUCAAACGGAUAACAAAUUGUUAACUUUAUCGUUAACUUGAUCGUGAACAAUAAAUUAAUUACAAAAUGUGUUCUCCAUAAUUUUAAACCAAAAGAAAAGUUGUUCUCACAUGCGGAUGAAGUUUAAAGAUAAAAAAUAUGAAUUUUAAUGUACUCUCUAUAUUUGUGUGUGUGUGUUUGUGUGUGUGUAGAGAGAGAGAGAGAUUUCUUUUCUAGUGAGAACAUCUUCACUUUAGAUGAACUGCUCACGUAAGAACUCAAGUUACCAUGUUGCUCUCAUCUUUGUGUGAUUUGAGGGGUAAAGCCCUUUAAGUUCUCAGUAAACUUAAUUUUUUUCUUGUUCUUGUAUAAAAGAAAAAAUGGAUCAAUUUUCUCGAUACUUCAAAAAAUCCAUUUCAUUUUUUUUUCUAAUUUAUGGUGAUUUUUUAUUAACUGGGUUACUUAAUUCAAAACCGUCAUUCCGUAAUAGUCUCUAUUGAUAGUUUCAAAGUUACAAAAAAGUAAACAAUCACUCUAUUUAUUUUUCUUGAAUUACAAAAUCAUAAUCUAUGUCUAUAUAGAUUUCUAUGUGGCAAAUAUCAUCCAAAUCCCUUAUAUACUAAUAUAACUUUAUUAUUUUAGUGUCUCAUCAAUUCAAAUUGUUUUCUAAGUUAAUGGAAGAAGUUGCAAUUGUUCAAUGACUUACUUUUUCUUUCCUUUCCUUUGUUUUUGUUUUACCACUAUUUAAUAGAAAUCCAACAGCUCCGUGUGCUCUAAUUCAUUAUUUUGAUGCAGACCUUAGAAUACUCCCAAAGUGUUUGAAAGAAUGAUCAUCUUGAAAAGGUAUCUAUAACAUCUCCAUCAAGACCUACCCCCAUCUUAGAGUAGCAAACAGGGAAGUAAAAUUAAUUAUUGUUUAUACAUGUUUUUAUUAUUAUUAUUUUUUGGUGCAAAAAUGAGCCAUUUCAAAUAUGUUCAUUACUCUAGCCAGAGUCGAUUAAUCUAACAUGACUAUAUAAGCGCCCAACAAUUUACUAGAUAAAUUGAUAAGCUAGGCAUUCUUGGCCCACCAAGCGAAGCCGAUGGUUUCUUGGUCAUAGUCUACUACAAUUAAAGUUCUUUUAUUUUCCAUGAAGUAGAACCUCCUUAACCAAUAUAAGAUUUUCAUGGAGCUUGAGCCACCAUCCAAGCACAAAUACCCUCAUUUAAAAGAAUAUAUAUAUAUAUAGUCUUAAUAGAAUCUCCCGCUCAUGAAUUUUUUCAAAAAUAAAAUCAUAAUAAAAUGAGGAUACUAUUAAAAUAUUAAAAAUUAUACAUUUCAAUGCAUUAAAGACCCAAUAUUUUCUUUGAUAAUGUAUUAAAAUUUGUUUCUUUUAAUCUAUUAGUAAUAUUUUAUUUUAUUAAAAUAAGGAUCGCCCCGUGAGUCGUGAGGUAAAAAUUCUAUACAUGAACGCUGUGAAUAAGCACGCAAGUUGAAUCUUUUAGAAUAUUAUUAAGAAAAUUACCACCAAUUUUCUCUAAUAAGGAAGUUUGUACUGCGCAAAUACGUCAAAUUUGUUAUGUUUUGUCCAAAACCGACCGAGAAAGGAAUGUAAAUGUAGGGCAUAAUAGACAUCUCACUUUCGCUACACGCGUCAUGUUCUCAUUCGACAGCCAGUCUUUCCCUCCGUUGUCACGCAUGACCGCCAUCAUGAUAUUUAGCGGACAGUGGAGCCACCAAAUUCACCAGUCACCAGUCAGAUUUUUCAUAAUAUUAAAAAAGCAAAGCAAAAAGAAAAUUUGAGAAAAAAAACCAGAAUAAAAACAAUAUAAAACAAGUAGAAGAGAGUCCUUCAUUAUCUUAACCUCCAUUUCCUCUCCAACAAACUUUCCUUCACCUUGCAAAAUUUCUCUGUACUUUGCUUCUUAGAUCUUGAUCCUAGAAACCAUGGUGAGUUAGUUCUCUUUCAACUUUACGACUAAAUUUUUGCUCACUUUUUCCUAUAAUUUUUAUUUGGGUUCGAAAUAUGUUUCUUUGGAGCUAAAGAUUGAUUAGAUCUGAUGUGGGUCUUCUUAUAUCGUCACUGUGCGUUGACUAUAGAUCUUUAAAUUUAUAAAUGGAUGCUUAAUUGUUUUGGGAAUUUCUAACUUUUGUAGUGGGUCUGAUCUGAUCUGUUCUGUUUUCGUGUCUUGUACAAUUCUAAAAUUGCAGUAUUUGGUUUGGCAAAUAGAUGGUAUUUUUUUUCUGUUGGUUUUAAUGUUAAUUUGAUCAUUUUUGUUAGCCAUGUGAGUAUUUGAUUCUUAUAAAUGCAUGAAUAUGUUUUUUUUUUUUGAGUUAUGUUUUGCUAGUGUUGUUCAUAGUGAUGAUGCUGAAGUACUUCACAGAUUGUUGAAGACACUUCCUAUAACGGUGGUGUUAUAGUUCAUUAGUUCUCCAAGGUGUUUUUAGUAAAUAUUAUGCUGUAUCAAUUCAAACAGCUUUGCUAUUGCAUGAUUGUUAACAGAGCAAGAUGAAAUAGUUAUUCAGUAGUAUGUUCUUAGAAUUGAUCUUCUAGUUCUGGGGUUAAUUUGCGACACUCUGAUUCUAUGCUGAUUGGAUGGAAUUGUCUACCAUUUUCCUUCCGUUGUAGUUGCCAUAAUUUGUCUGAUAUUAUAUUGAUGCCUCAAGUGUUUUGUUCUGCAAUCAUAAGAUUCUUGUCAUGUUUUUAGUUAUCAUUAAAGUAAUGAUAAUUGGUGAAUAAAUUUUUUGCCUAUUAGUAAUUUGUUUCUUCCUAUCCUUGCUCUUUAGUGUCCAUGGUUUCUCAAAGAAAGUGGUUUUGAUCUUGCUAUUUUGCCUUUCAAGAUGUUUUUUUUUGUAUUGCAAUUAUGGACGUUACGUGUGGAUAUGGAUUACGGUGCUUGAUAGGACAUGUUAUAUUGUUUGAUUUGCCACCAAGUUUGCCUUGCUUGACUUGGUUCUGUUUUGAAAGGAUUUGCAUUGACACUAAGUCAUUGACUUGUAAUUUUUUUUUUUUUUAAUUUCUGAUUGUUUUUCUUCCAUUACUAGCAUAAUCUAGUGUCCUUCCAACUACUGCAAAAUUCAAUGCCGCAUGUUGUUUACUACAUGAGACUGUAAUUUUAUUUAUACAUGGAAGGGAUGUAAUGGAUAUUUUGGUUUUGUGAUGCAUGAGUGUAUACUUGCUUAUUUUAGGCUCAUCUGAACAUUUGUGAUUCAACAUUUGAAAAGUUUUACAAGUACAUCGGGAACAGAAGUUAAAAAAAUAAUAAUAAAAUAUUGCAGAUUGUGAUCUUAGUAGCCCUGCUAAUGAGCUGAAUGCCUUUGACUUAUUUAGAAUGAAGAUGGAAUCACAAUGAGCAAGGUGUUUUAAAUUAACUUCAUGCCUGUUUGCACCUUUUUUUCUAGGUUUCUCAUGGGUAAUUCCUUUUCGUUCUAUCUGCAGGCUAAUGCUGCUUCUGGGAUGGCUGUACAUGAUGACUGUAAGCUAAAGUUCUUGGAGUUGAAAGCCAAGAGAACCUACCGCUUCAUAGUAUUUAAGAUUGAGGAGAAGCAGAAGCAGGUCAUUGUGGAAAAACUUGGUGAGCCAACUCAAACCUAUGAAGAUUUUGCUGCCAGCCUUCCUGCUGAGGAGUGCCGAUAUGCUGUGUAUGAUUAUGAUUUUGUUACCGCAGAGAACUGCCAAAAAAGCAGGAUUUUCUUCAUUGCAUGGUAAAUAUCAUAUUCCUAAAGCUUACUUUCUUUCAAAAUGUACUUCCAAUCACGGUUGGUAAUGUUUAUUUACUGAUGAAGGUCUCCCGACACUGCAAGAGUAAGAAGCAAGAUGAUUUAUGCAAGCUCCAAGGACAGGUUCAAGAGAGAGCUAGAUGGCAUUCAAGUGGAGCUGCAGGCAACUGAUCCAUCUGAGAUGGGUCUUGACGUAUUUAAAGACCGUGCCAACUAAAUAAAGGCUCCUGAUCUCAGCAAUUGAGAUUGUUUUUAUCUUUUGUGCUUUACCUAAAGGUGAAAUGUUAAUAGUUUGUGGCGGCAGCUUGAAUCUAACUGAAUUAUGAUAUUGGUUUGUUGUUCAAGUUUCACCGAUGCAGUAUUCUCGUCUAGAACCAUUUCAGUGGUCUUUAUGAUGUCUUUAUUGAUUUGUUGUGGUGUGGAAGUUAUGGGAUGAGUGGCUACUUAUAGCUAUUUCUUCAAGCUAAGGUGUUUCAAUUGAUGGGGGAUGGAUAACCCUCUGUUAGGGUUGUUUUUACUUUGAAAAUGGAUGUUUCAUUUUGAACUUUAUAAAUGGAUGUUUCAUUUUUCUUGUUACUUAUGCAUAAUUGGCAAGUGAAGAAAUACCGUUCAUUUUUCUUGUGCGAUUCUAGUUGAUAGUGCAAUGACACUUUUGUAUGAAAUAGAUCGAAGUUACCUCUUUUUGGUUUUUGUCAACACAACCAAGCUACUUUCUAUGGUAAUACGUGGUAGUUUUGCUAAUUAUGCAUACUAUGGUUUGUGAAUAUCAAAUUAACGAAGUAUGAGUUAUUGCCUGAUUUUAAGGAUCAAGUGCAUCACCAAAUAGUGGGGAUCUUAAAUCUUUCCUCUACCCAAACAUGGAAAUCUGAAGCUGGAGCACUUGGCCCUCGGCUGCAUCGGCACAUUCAUAGCCCAUGGCAAGGGUCAUAAUCUGGAUAUGUAAUAAACAGGAAUGAAAUUUGUCUUAGUAAUAUUACCACUUGUAAUUACAAGGCUUUUUUGACAUAAUAGAUGUGAUUUUUCGAAUUUGAAUGCAAAAAGUCAGAAGCGAACGAAUAACCCACCUCUAUAAUUCCAAGUUGGCAAUCAAAAUAUUGUAAUAAAUUUCAUUUCAGUGAAAGUAAUAGCUAUGAAGAAUCAAAGAAAAAAUGAUGGUUACAACUAAUUUAUAGUCUGCAGGUUUAUUAAUGUUUCUAUUGUAACGAGGACAGGGUUCCCUCGCAAGCAUCAUGCUAGUCAUAUUCUCUCACCCACUUUACAAGGUCAAAGGUAAUGCCUAACGUACAUGAAGAGUGUCUAAAAAUGUAUAUUUCAAUGGGCAAUGCCGGCCAUCAGAUUAAGCCAAGGUAAAAAAUGUUACCUUGAAGCAUCAUUCUUCUGGCCUAAAUUUAAGAAAAUAUCUUAGUGAAACCAUGUUCCGAGUCCGUGCUUUUCUGUCCGAUACAUGUUACAACUAAGUAUCCAGGGGCAAACUACUUUGAGCAACUUGCAAGAUUGAGAGAAACAAGUGUAAGGCAGGGUACAUGGAUAAAGCUGAGCUUCUAUGUAAGGAAAUGCUGGCUAGCGGUUCUCUUCCAAAUCAAAUAACAUAUGGUUGUUUCCUUGACUACUUGACUAGAGAAGGAAAAAUGCCCCUUCUCAUCAUAUCAUCACGCAAUUCAAAAGCCUUGGUGAUUUCUCCUCUAAUACAGCAUCCAUAUAUCAAAAAGUUGUAUGCCAGUGGAUCAGGUUUUAAACCUUUAUUUAGCAUGGAGUCCCAUAACUUAAGAGCCUCAUGUAAAUAACCUCUUUUACAGUACUGAUAGAUUAUUGUUGAAUAGGUGAUACAAUCAGGGAGUAUGCCAUUGUCCAUCAUUCCACCAAGGAGCUUGGUGGCCUCUUCAAAUUUCCCCAUUGUGCAAAAGCCGUGAAUGAGUAUAUUGUAUGUGACAGUGUUUGCUAAAAGUCCAUCAAGCAUUGCAUUAUGCAGCUGUACAGCUUUCUCCAUUUUUCCUUCUCUAGUCAAGUAGUCAAGGAAACAACCAUAUGUUAUUUGAUUUGGAAGAGAACCGCUAGCCAGCAUUUCCUUACAUAGAAGCUCAGCUUUAUCCAUGUACCCUGCCUUACAUAAGCCAUUUAUCAGAGCAGUAUAUGUCACAACAUUUGGGACACAUCCUUCACCAAUCAUUAUAUCCCAAAGUCUAAAUGCCUCCUUGAGAUUACCUGCUUUGCCCUUGGCAUCAAUCAUGCUUGUAUAUAUUACAUUAUCAGGCCUCAGUCCCUUGUCAUGCAUCUCCUUCAAAAGCCCAAAAUAUCUCCUUGUAUCAGACUGUUUUAGAGAUCCAUCUAUAAGUACAGAAUAACACACAAGAUCCAUGUUCACGCCCCUUUCCACCAUCUCACGACAAGCACCCAGUGCAUCCUUUAAUCUCCCUUCUUUGCAAUAACCAUGUAGAAGUGCACUAUAACACAUCUCAUUUAACUUGCAAUGCUCUCUAUGAAGUCCAUCCACAAACUCUUUAGCUUCAGACACUCUACCAGCAGAACAAAGACCUGUUAUCAGAGAUCUGUAAGUGUAUGUAUCUGCUACAAGGCCCUUCCCUGCCAUUUCAUCAAGCAAUUCAAAGGCCUUUACCAUGCAACCUUCCCUGCAGUAACCUUCAAUCAGUACAUUAUAAGUCACUUCAUUUGGCAUAACAUUACGUUCCAGCAUUUCAUCAAACCAUUUAAUUGCCUCAGUCAGCUUAUUUGCUCGACAGAGACCAGAAAUAAGUGCAGUAAAGGUGUAAGAAUUUGGUGCAAUGCCCUUCCCAGUCAUCUCAUGAUAAAGCCUGAAUGCCUUAUUCAGUUUUACUUCAUUGCAAUAUCCACUUAUUAAGGAAGUGUAUGUUAUCACGGUUGGUGUUAAUCCUUUAUGAAUCAUCUCUUCAAAGAACGAUUCCGCUGCACUCAAAUUGCCCAACUUACAAUGCCCACUUAUCAGAGAAUUGUAAGGAUAGAUGGUUGCUUUUAUCCCCUCAUCUGCCAUUUUACCAAGAAAACUAACUGCAAUAUCCAUUUCUCCCCUUCUGCAUAAUGAAUCAAUCAAAAUAGAAUAAGUAACAACAUUUGGAGACAAGCCCUUCUGUUUCAUCUCGUUAAAAAGAAACUCAGCUUCAUUGAAUUUCCUUUCUUUACACAACGAAUUGAUCAACGCGUUGUAUACAAAUAAGUUAGGUACCACCCCGAGUGGCCCCAAUUUAUUUACCAAGUUAAAAGCAUCGUCAAUCUUCCCCUUCCUCCUGAACCCCUCAACAAGACUUGAAACAGCUGCUUCACUUGGAACCAAACCCAACUCGAUCAUCUCAUUCAUCAACCACACACCAAACUCAAACUCUUGCACUUUACACAAUCCGAGCACUAAUGUGCAAUAGGUAACAACAUCUGCUUUUACUCCUCUUUUUACAAAACCAUUCUUGACCUCAACAGCCUCAAAAACUCUUUGACUCUUGCAAAGUCCAUGAAUCAAAAUAUUAUAGACCACAACAUUUAAAUCACUCCCAUUUGAAUCCAUAAAAUGAAUCAUUUCCUUGGCUUUAACAAAAUCUUUUAAUUCACACAAACUUCUCAUCACUGCCGAGUGUAUAUAAAUAUCAGGCAAUAUACCCACAUUAACAACCUCCUCAAACAAUUUCAACACUAACCCAAAUUGCCUAAUUUUGACGAGCCCAUUUAGAACCCCACUCAGGGUUCUAACUUCAGGCAUCAAAUGUUUCUCUCUCAUUAACCGAAAUACGAAAACACCAUCCGCGACUCUCUUAUUUUGCACGUAACUUUGAAUCAACAAAUCAAAACCCAAACUUGAAGAAAACCCAAAUUUCUCAUAACAAUCAAAUAAAGAAUCAAAAGCCUCUUUUGGGCUUAGCCCACGAAGAAGCAGCGUCUGCAAUAGCGAACUUGCAGGCCAAAAGAGAUUGUUUUGCACCAAACCGUGAAUCAAAAUACAAAAGGACGCCGUUGAAUGGUUGAAGGUUUUAUGCAGGCCUAGAAAAUUGAAGAAUCUUAAAGCUAACCUGGAAUCGUCUAGAGUCCGGAUCAAGACCUUUUCAACAUGAUGAGGCUUUAAUGCGGUGGAUAAAACGGCAUCGUCCAAUGCUAGCUUCCAGCUCUGUUUUCCUCGUAUGAUUUUUUUAAGUGUGUCAAUGAAUUGUGACUCUUUUUCGUCAUUAUCUGAGUAAAAGGGUCUGUGAGUGCAUAAAUUUCUGCGCUUGUAGUGGAAUUUUAAGCUUGUUACCUGUCGUUGAGAGAGGGUGAGCUUCAUCUAGCGAAUUGCGAUGGGAAAGUGAAGAGUUCAGUUCAGGACUUCUUGUGAGACUGUAAAUGGGUCAAACCGGAUCUGAGGGUUUCCGGUCAGUUUGGAGUUUGAGACAUUGAGGGGACAUUUUAAAGAUCCACAAUAAUGGAUUGUGAGUUAUUGGGUUGAGUAGGCCUUUUGACACCCUUCAAAUUUUUCAUAAGAAUCUUUUUUAAUUGCAAUUAUUUAAAUAAAUUAAUGUAUUUUUUGUUUUCAAUGAAAAUUUGGUUAAAACUUACAUAAAUUAUUCUUUUAACAAGUUUUUUACACACACUUAUUUUAUAAUUAAUAUUAAUAUUUUAAAUUUUAAAUAAAAUAUAUAUAUUUGAAAAAAUUAGAAGAGUUUGGAGUUAUCAAAAUGGAUUUUAGACAGUAAAAAGAAAAAAAUUUAAGAUAUUUAAUAUUUCAGGAUUUGUAUGUAAUUUAAAAAGAAAUAUGAUUAAUUUUCAUAUAUGAAUUUACAUUUUAUCAAUUUAACUUAGGAUAUUUUAGAAAAUAAAUUAAAAGGGGUAUUAUAAAAGUUUUAGGAGAAAUUUUAAAAUACUUUUGAUGUAUUAUAAUCAAUUGAUGCAUGCAUGUCAUAUAUGUAGUUGAAUUUAAUAUAAUCACAACUUGCAUGAUAGUUUUUCAAACUAAAUGCACACAUGUCAUAAUAUCAUUUAUUUGUUGUAUGGCUAACAUAAUACCUCUAAUGUAUUUUAGAAUUUCUUAAAUUUUAAAGGAGUGUUAAAAGCUCAACCCUAUUGAGUUUCUUAAAGGCUAAAAGAUCAUUGGCCCAUAUUAAUGCGGAUCUUUAGUUUAUUCUUUUGUUAUUUAAAUUAUUGUUUACAUUUUUGUAUAUAAAAUUGGGUGGGCACAAUUCGAUUCAAUUCUAAAUCGAAUUGGAUUGAUUGAUUUUUACUUAAUAUAUAAACUGAAUUAAACUGAAUUGAAUUAGAGCGAUUCUUUGGAUUUUGUGGUUUUAUUCAAUUUUUGAAUUUUUUAAAUAUGAACCGAUUGAUUUUUGUUAAUUUUUAAAACUUAAGUUAACAAAAUGAUCACUUUGGCUACAUUCUUGGCAGUGAUUUGUCUGCUCACCUCUAUUAUAAAUGUUUUGGCUUGGUUAAAGGUGGAUACAAAUUCCUAAAAUCAAACCAAACAGCUAAAUCAAUAUAUAAAAACAGUAGUGCUACACAUCCCAAAAAAUUAUCUCAAAUGAUGUGUCAUUAAUUAAGUGGUUGAUAAUUCUUUAUAAGAUUUAAGUGAAUUAAUUGUAUUAUCUCACCAACCAAUUGAUAAAUGACACAUCAUUUGCGAUAAUUUUUUGGGAUAAAAAAUUUGGGAUGUGUAGCAUUACUCAUAUAAAAAAUUGAAUGUUAUCAAUUAUUCUAUUCGAAUUUUAAAAAUGCUAGUACCUACACAAAUUUGGUCAAGUUUUUAAUCUUAGGGGCAUUUAUGUUUUAAACUUAACGGUUUAAUUGAAUUACUUUCAAUCGGUUAAGUCAUUAAGGUAGCGUUUACUUUUUGGAUUGGAUUGGGAAUCCUGAGGAGUGAGAAUCUUAGGAUUAGGAGUGUGGAGUGGGAGUGGGAGUAGGUUGUUUACUUACACUGGAAUGGAAGUAUGGAUUAGAGAUCAGAAUCCAAUUUAUGUGUUUACUUUGUCUUGGAUUGCGAGUAAAUAGUUUCAAAUUACAAUUUUAUCCUUAUUUAAAGAAUUAUAGUUUUUAAUUACAAAACUAAUAAAAAAUAUAUUUAAUGAAUAAUAUUUAUUUUAUUAUAUUUGUAAAUUUAUUAUAAUUAUUAAUAUUCUUAAUUAUGAACAAUAAAUUAUUAAUUUUAAUACAAAAUGAAACCUUAUUUUAUUUUAUUUAAUAUAAUUAUAUUAAAUUUAUUAUUAUAUAAAAUAAUAAUAUAAUAUUAUUUAGUACAAAAUUAAUAUUUUCUUAGAAUAAACUAUUUAUUAUUAUUAAUAAUAAAUAAAUAUAAUACUAUUAUUUUUAAAAUAAAUAUAAUAAUAUUACAUUUAUUAAUUCUCUAUUAAUAUAAUAAUAUUAUUUUAAAAUAAUUUUAACUUAGAAUCAAUGCAAAUUAUUAUUUAGUUAAAUAUAAUAUUAUUAUUCAAACAAAUAUAAUAAUAUUAUUCAAAUAAAUAUAAUAAUAUUUAUUUUAUUUUAUUAAUUAUAAAAUAUUAAAUUAAAUUAAAUUAAAAAAAAUAAAAGAGUAAAAAAGGGAGAGGUGGGAGUGGAUUCCCACUCCCACCUCCCCCAAUGGGAGUCCCACUCCCACUCCCCACUCAAAAAAUGGAUGGGACCCACGGAGUGGGAUUCCCACUCUCUUCCCAUUUAGAGAAAGUAAACGCUGAAGUGGGAGGAAUCCACACUCCUCACUCCUACUCCAGCAAGUAAACACAACAUAAGUCCAUUUAUUUUUUUAGCUUAACAAAAAUUUUCAGUCAUUAAGUUAUUUAACCAAUUAUUUUUGUUUUUUUACUUAAUUUCAAAAGUUUGAAUGAAACCAACAAAAUUAUGUCACAAUAAUUUAUACACAAUAAAUCUAUACUAAAUUUUAUGGCUUAUUAUUACUCUUUAGUAUUAUUUUUAAUUUAGUUAUCAUCAAUUAUUUGGCAUUAUUUUUUUCAUCUGAAAAUUUAGAGCCCGCGCUGAGAGAAAAAGUUAUACUCGCCGCGCGUUUAAGCGCGAACGCAUGAAUUCAAAAAGUUACAAAUAAUUUUUUUUUUUUUUUCAAGGAUUACAAUUAAAAAUUAAUUAACUAAUUUAACGCGUCUAUUCAAAGCCGUCGAUCCGAUUUCCGAGAGGCUAAUCCACGGUAUCCUUAGCCAAGCCGUCAAUCCGUGUAUCUGCACAUUUUCCAAUACAAGACUAAUUUAACCAUUACUAACGCAUCUCAUAUGGGUCGUCGAUUCCCCAAUGGAAUCCAACGGCUGUAUGUAUCCACGUCAGCAGUCCUCAUCUUUCAAAAUCCACCAAUCAAAUCACAUCAAACCGAUCUAUAAAUACCAAACCACAAUGCCCUUUCCUCUUCCAUCUCACAACAAAAUCUCCCGUAUUCACCGAAUCUAACAAUUUGUCUUCUACUUUCAAUUCCUCGCGAACCCACAGUUUCUUCUGACGAUGGCACCAAAGGCGGAGAAGAAGCCAGCGGAGGAGAAGAAGACACCGGUAGCGGAGAAGGCGCCUGCCGAGAAGAAGCCGAAGGCCGGGAAGAAACUUCCGAAGGAAGCCGCAGCGGGUGACAAGAAGAAGAAGCGCACGAAGAAGAGCAUUGAGACGUACAAGAUCUACAUAUUCAAAGUCCUGAAGCAAGUCCAUCCAGAUAUCGGAAUCUCGAGCAAGGCUAUGGGAAUUAUGAACAGUUUCAUCAACGAUAUUUUCGAGAAGCUUGCUCAGGAAUCUUCCAGGCUGGCAAGGUACAACAAGAAGCCGACGAUAACUUCUCGUGAAAUCCAGACCGCUGUGAGACUUGUGCUUCCUGGUG
This 46048-nucleotide long non-coding RNA is filed under the name Citrus x clementina. Its description in RNAcentral is "Citrus clementina (C. clementina) long non-coding RNA (CCLE_LNC001159)". The record is from RNAcentral. Lineage: Eukaryota; Viridiplantae; Streptophyta; Magnoliopsida; Sapindales; Rutaceae.